GGCGGCUACCCUAGUUCCAUUCCCCUCUCUGUAAUCGCAAUUUCCCUGUAAUCGAGAUACUGGACUCGAAUUCGUGAGUGAGAUCAAGCUAGUUCGAAGAAUCCCUACUUUGUACCUUACACAAAAGGGAUCAGAAAAUACAAUUGCAAGCAUGUGAACAUGGCAAAAACAUAAUUAGAUUACAGAAUUAGUGAAAAACUGGAGCAUGCAAAUCAGUUAACGAGUAGGCAUGUUUACGAGCUCGAUGCACUCCCUACAGAGCAUGGCAUGACCAACUAAGCAUACACCCAUCAAGAAUACAUGGAAUAGAAGCUAGACAUGGCAAGAACAACAACAUAGCAUGCACGGAUCAAUAACAACAUCCUCGGCAAAAUCGCUAACAAGUCAACAAUCUGUCAGGAUUCACGAAAUAGCAAAAGUAGAGCUCGAUUGACUCAAGCUAGGUUGCUCCAUAAAUGCAAACAAAGACAUGGAUGGAUAGAGCACCACAAUGUUAACAAAUCAUCCUUACUGAUCAUCCUCAAAAGAGGCACGGAUCACUAGGAAACAACAUGAACAUAUGGCAUAAUGACAAAAAUCAGCUCAAGGACUUAGUGAAAUUCUAAGUCCCUGAAAUCAAAAAUAACGAAUGCACUACUUUGCAAGCUUGUGCUAGUCACCACACAUAUCACAAAAAUACACGGUAAGCACCUCUGUAAAGAUGGCAUGACAUAUAACAAAACACAUGUAGAGCUCAGGAGCAUAUCAUGCACACAUUAAUCGUGGCAAAAAUGACAAAUAUCUAUUUGAUGAAACAGAUCUGACAAUUUUAUCACAUAGCCCUCUUCCAACAGUAUUUCGGGCAUCAAGAUGACCUCAAAUGAAAAUGAUACAAUGAGAUGAAAUUAUGUACUCUCUGAGUUGAACAUUUUGAUAGGCUACACGCGCAAAUCGGAGCUACGGAUACGGAGAUACGACAUGAUGAAAAAUGCAAGAAAACUAGGGUUUCGGGGGAAAGUCAACCCUUCGUCCUAGAUCCAGAUCUACUGUAGCUGCACGAAUAACGAGGUUCGCCGGAGGGAGCACUGUAGACGGCCGGAGAAGGUGUCGGAGCUUGAGGAAGAGGGGCCCCGAGGCCCUCCCGGGCCGGAUCUCGCCGGCUCUGGUCACCGGCGAGUCGGAGAGGCGGCGGGGAGGCGCGGCGAUGUCGGAGGAGGUGCGGGCGGUGAGGCGCGUCGGUGGCGGCGCUCUGCUCCGGCCGGCAAGGUGCGGUGGUGGCAAAGUGGCCUCGGGCGGCGCGAGAGGAAGAAGAAGCCCCGGGCGGCGGCGGAGGAGACCCGGGCCGCGGGGGCCUGCCACGGGCCGAGCGGGCCCACGCGGGAUCGGCGGCCAAGUGGGGCGCGUGCUGCCACAUGGCGCGCCCCGGUUGGCGGCGGCGACUUAUCUGGUGGAGGCGGACGUGUCCGGUGGCGGCGGAGACGAAUUUCUAGUGUUAGGGUAGGAGAAGACCCGGAAAUUUCAAGGGGAGACCUAUAAAUAGGGAUAGAAGGAGCAAGGAGGCUCCAAAUUGAGCACGGUUUGCAGCCACGCGAUCGUGAUCGAACGACCGAGAUGAUGGAGGGGGUUUAGCUGGGUUUUGGGCCACUUUUGAGGGGUGUUGGGCUGCAACACACAUGAGGCUUUCUCGGUCCCUCGGUUAGCCAUUGGAGUAUCAAACGAAGUCCAAAUGGUACGAAACUUGAUAGGCGGUCUACCGGUAGUAAAUCAAGGCCGCUGGACAAGUCUCGGUCCAAUCCGGAAAUGUUUAAUGCCCACACAUGAAAAGAGGUAGAAAGGAUCACCGGAGGAGAUAGGAGCGCCGGAAUGCAAAACGGACAACGGGGAAAAUGCUCGGAUGCAUGAGACAAACACGUAUGUGAAUGCAAUGCACAUGAUGACAUGAUAUGAGAUGCAUGAAAAAGGCAACAACACAGGGAGACAAAACCCGAACCCGAGGAAAGUAAAAUAACUUAGCGCCGGAAACGGCAAGAGUUGGGAUACAUAUAAGGUAAAUUACAUCCGGGGUGUUACAACACUCCACCACUACGAAAGGAUCUCGUCCUGAGAUCUAGGACUGGAAAAACGCCGGAUACUCAGAAUGGAGGUGAUCCUCGCGUUCCUAGGUAGCUUCACGGUCGGAAUGGUGUGACCACUUGACUUUGAGGAAUUUGAUUGACUUAUUGAGAGUCUUGCGCUCAGUCUCUUCAAGAAUAGCAACGGGGUGCUCACGAUAAGAAAGGUCUUCUUGGAGAUCAAUGUCUUCGAAGUUGUCGGUGCGGUCAGGAGUGUUCAAGCACUUGCGGAGCUGAGAGACAUGGAACAUGUCGUGCACAUUUGCAAAGCUCGAGUUGAUAGGCGAGAUCACCUCUCUUGCUGACGAUUUUGAAAGGGCCCACGUAUCUAGGGGCAAGCUUCCCUUUGAUACCGAAGCGACGAGUACCUUUCAUUGGAGAGACGCGGAGGUAAACAUGGUCUCCGAUCUCGGAAGCCAAAUCACGAUGCUUACUAUCAUAGUAGCUCUUCUGGCGCGAUUGCGCUGCUUUGAGGUUAUCACGAAUGACUUUGCACAUUUCCUCUGCCUCUGUGAUCAAGUCAUUUCCAAGAAUUUGACGUUCACCGAUCUCUGACCAGUUAAGAGGAGUAUGGCACUUCCAGCCAUAGAGAAUUUCAAAUGGGGCCUUGCCCGAACUUGCUUGAAAAUUGUUGUUGUAGGAGAAUUCGGCAUAUGGAAAACAAUCUUCCCACUUCAUACCGAAGGAGAUAACGCAAGCCCUGAGCAUAUCUUCAAGAAUCUGAUUGACACGCUCGACUUGACCGCUAGUUUGACGAUGAAAAGUUGUGCUGAAGCGGAUGUUGGUGUCCAUGGCCUUCUGAAAAGAAUCCCAAAACUUGGAGGUAAAGAUGCUGCCACGGUCUGAAAAUAUCAACAGCGGAAUGCCGUGCAGAGAGACAAUCGAAGAGGUAUACAACUGCGCCAAUUGAGCUGCAGUGAUAGACUCUUUGAUAGGCAGAAAGUGAGCCACUUUAGUGAGUAUGUCGAUGACAACGAAUAUAGCAUCAUUGCCACGCUUGGACUUUGGAAACCCAGUCACGAAGUCCAUCUCAAUGUGGUCAAACUUCUAUUCUGGAAUGGCAAGAGGUUGGAGGAGACCAGCUAGUUGUUGGUGUUCUGCCUUCACUCUUCUGCCGACAUCACACUCAUUCACGAACUGAGCAAUCUCGCGCUUCAUUCGAGUCCACCAAUAAGCCUGCUUGAGGUCCUGGUACAUCUUCGUACUCCCAGGGUGGAUGGAGAGGAGUGAAAUGUGAGCCUCGUUCAUAAUGACUUUACGAAGGUGACCUUUAGGCACAACAAUGCGAUCCUCGAAGAAGAGAGUAUCCUUGUCAUCAAGGCGAUAGCACUUCUACUUGGGUUGACUCUUGGCAAUCCCAAUCUUCACCUUCUUCACCAUAUCAUCAAGAAGUUGAGCCUCGCGAAUCUGAUCUUCCAAAGUAGGAGAGACUUGAAGGUUGGCGAGGAAACCUUGAGGAACAACUUGCAGAUUGAGUUUGCGGAAAGCUUCACAAAGCUCGGGUUGGUAAGGCUUGAUAAUCAGACUGUUGUAGUAAGACUUCCUGCUCAAAGCGUCAGCAAUCACAUUGGCCUAGCCUGGAGUAUAUUCGAUGCUCGGAUUAUACUCUUGAAUCAUUUCGACCCAACGAGUCUGCCUGAGGUUGAGAUUAGGCUGAGUGAAGAUUUACUUGAGACUCUUGUGGUCAGUGAAGAUGUCCACUUUUCUUCCCAAUAAGAGAUGUCUCCAAGUCAAAAGAGCAUGCACAACUGCCGCCAACUCGAGGUCAUGAGUGGGGUAGUUCUUCUCGUUGGGCUUCAACUGGCGAGAGGUAUAAACCACAACUUUCUUCUCUUGCAUCAACACUGCACCAAGACCUUGAAGAGAGGCAUCGCAGAAGACCUCGAACGGUUUGGAUUCAUCAGGAGGAGUCAGAACUGGAGCAGUGACUAAUUUCUCUUUCAGGGUGUUGAAAGCGAUGUCACACUCAGGAGACCAAACGUACUUUACGUGCUUCUGGAGAAGGUUUGAAAGAGGCUUCGCGAUCUUUGAAAAGUUCUCAACGAACCUUCGACAGUACCUUGCAAGAUCAAGGAAGCUGCGGAGUUGCUUCACGUUCUGAGGUGGUUCCCAAUUCACAAUUGCAGACACCUUCUCAGGAUUUACCGCUAUGCCCUUUGCAGAGAUGAUAUGCCCAAGAUAGAGAACCUCAUCGAGCCAAAACUCGCACUUUGAAAACUUCGCAUAGAACUGAUGUUCUCUGAGCUUAUCGAGUACCAAACACAUGUGCUUGGCAUGAUCUUCCUUGUUCUUCAAAAAGACCAGAAUGUCAUCGAGGUAGACCAAGACAAAGUCAUUUGUGUAGGCGUUGAAGAUGAAGUUCAUCAUGUCAGAGAAAGUCGGUGGAGCGUUGACGAGGCCAAAAGACAUGACAGUGUAUUCAUAUAAACCAUAGCUUGUUCUGAAAGCCGUCUUGGGAAUAUCUUGCUCACGGAUUCGAAUCUGGUGAUAGCCCAUAUGGAGCUCAAGCUUGGAGAAUACUUGGGCACCAUUGAGUUGUUCGAACAGCUCAUUGAUGUUGGGAAGUGGGUACUUGUUCUUUAUAGUCUUCUUGUUCAAUGGACGGUAGUCAACACAAAGUCGGUCCGUUCUAUCCCUCUUCUUCACAAAAAGAACUCCACAACCCCACGGAGAAGAACUAGGUCGGAUGAGACCCAUAUGCUCUUGAAUAUCGAGUUGCUUCUUCAGAUCUUUCAACUCUUCAGGUCCAAGCUUGUAAGGAUGUUUGCAAACAGGUUCCGUGCCAGGCUCAAGAUCGAUGACGAAUUCAACUGGCCGGUGCGGAUGCAUUCCUGGAAGCUCUUCUAGAAAGACGUCUUGAUAUUCGCAAACGAUUGGAAUUUGAGAGAUGGCAUCCAGUUAUCCCUUCUCAUUGAGAGAAAACAGACGAAUGGUAUCAUCACGAGUGGCAAAGACAAUUACAUCCUCAGACGAAUGAGUCAAUUGAAUCUGCCUGGUAGCACAAUCAAGCCGAGCCUUGUGCUUAGAAAGCUAAUCCAUUCCGAGAAUAAGAUGAAUAUCCGAGUCACCAAGAACAUUUGGAGAGGAAAAGAACUUAUAGUCACCCAAUGUGAUUGAAACAUCCGGAACGCAUACUCGAGAUGUCAUUUGACGGGCCGGAGAGACAAUAGCCAACGGUUUCGGCAACACUUGAGUAACAAAAUCAUGCUUAGAUGCAAAAGGUCUCGAGAUGAAACAAUGUGAUGCACCAGUGUCAAAAAGAACUCUUGCAGGAAUAUCGUUAACAGGAAGGUUACCCAUGAUUACAUCUGACGAGUCCUCUGCCUGAGCUGCAUUCACCAUGUUUACCUUGGCGUACUUGGGGUUAUGCUUGACCACAGCUAUACUUGUCGAUCUCACAGGAGGAGGAGGAGGGAGACGCCUCUGAUUGAAGCAUUUGUUGGCAUACUGACCCUUCUGUUGGCACUUGUUGCACGUGACCUCUGAAAGCAGACGGUGAUACGGAGCACUCGAUCUUGGAGCUUGAGACAAAGUCUUCUUCUGAAAGCCAGGGUUGGGUGGGUGGGAAGAUCCACUGCCACCUUUGCUCUUCUGCUGAUAAGGCUGACGGAACGGAGGAGAAGGAAGCCAAUACUUCUGCUGCUUAGCCACUUGAGUAGAGGAAGAAGGAGUAGCAUCUCUGACUCGCUUCUUGGAAGCAUCGCACUUCAGUUGAGCAGUCUCUUUCUUCAUUGCCAUGAUGUAAAACUCAUCGUACCUCUUGGGCUCAAAGAGAACGAGAGCUAGCUGGAUUUCUUCUCUGAGACCACCCCUGAACUGGUAUAUCAUGCUCUUCUCAUCAGGGACGUCCUGCUUAGCAAAACGGGUGAGCUUCUGAAACAUCUUGUUGUACUCGUAGACAGACAUAGAGCCUUGCUUCAGGUUGCGGAAUUCCUCACGCUUGCUUUCAACCACGCUCUAAGGAAUAUGAUGAGCUUUGAAGUCUUGACGGAAUUCAUCCCAGGUAAUCACACGGCCUCCUCUGGAAUCUUUGUACUGCUGAAACCAUUCUGCAGCUUGGUCUUUGAGUUGGAAGGAAGCGAACUUGACAAAGUCCUCAGGUCUGACGUUACUACACUCGAAAUGCUUGCAUAUGUCCAUGAGCCAAUCAUCAGCGUCUGUUGCCUCAACACAAUUGUUGAAGGUCUUUGGCUGGUUAGCAAGGAACUGGUUGAGUGUAGCAAAGUGAUUCUGAAUGUUGCCUUGGCCCUGGUUCCCUUGGUUGCGCUCUUGAAGAAGUUGCAUGAUCAGCUGCGUGUUUGCAUUGGUAGUGGCCAUCACAGCUUACCAUGCCUCAAGAGGUGGAGGUGGUGGUGGCGGAUCAGGAUUCGGAGUCGUGCGCAUUGGAGGAGCCAUCCUGAAGAGGUUGACAUCCUUUAGCACAUUGAUAGACAAAUAUUGAAGCUGAAUCAGGCGGGUUGAAAUUGUAACAUAUAGUCUUCACAUCCGAACAAAAUGAAUGAAUGCAUUCCAAUUGAAAUGGUCACAUAUCCAUAAAUUGAGAAGCCACUUAGAAUUUAGGUAGAAGAAAAACAACAAGGUACGGAACAAGAACGCAUACUCGGUGAGGAUUACCCAAUCUCAAACCAAAUAUCCAUGGAAGAAGAACUAGAGCUACAAGAAUUCCCACCUAUGAAACUCCCAAAACUUUCUGGUUAUGCAAUCAGGUGUUGGGGAUACAGGGGAAGCAUAAUAUCUCACCCAAAUCUAGCAAAUCCUACAUCCAGCUGUAUCCAUCCUUCAACACAUAACCGAGAAAAACUUCAGAAAUCGUCUACCUCAACCUUCGAAAAGCAUCCGUUAUACAAGUUAUGGCAAUACUCCCGAACUCCCGCCCCAGUACUGAGUGGCGUUGAGGUUAUCUCACCAACAACUGCAUAAAAGAGAUUUUCGAUGUUGGCGAACCUAAACUCAGGUAUUCCAGAACAGCAACGAUAAAAUUGUGACGACAACACCUCAGAGCUCAACUCCCCGGGACACUGCCACAACCCCUAAAUGACAGUAGGCACCAAGAAUAAUGUUCUCGUCACAAAUCGAUCGGAACGAUUCCAAGAUACCCGCGUGAUCCUAAAAAAAUUUAGUGAAAUUUGAGAAGAGAAGAGUCAAACUCUAUGUCAGGAUGCCUUACCAGAGCGAUGAAGGGACUGGGGAGUAAAAAGAAUUCCUAAACUCUCCGAUAUAUAUAAUCCUAAAUGACUCAAAACAUUUUUUUCUAGACUCAACAACGCCAGCUAUUCGAUCAAGCAGGGGGGCUCCUAAGGUCGGGGAAGGCUCUGAUACCAACUUGUAACGCCCUCGACGCGGCUAUAUCUCCUACGUAUCGAAGCACGACUUAGAGGCAUAACCGCAUUAAAAGCAAUGUCGCAAGUAAGGUAAUCUUCACAACAACCCAUGUAAAUAGAUAAUAGGGGAAAAAGGUACAUAGUUGGCUUACACUCGCCACGUCACACGAAUACAUGAAUAACAUUACAAUCAUCCAAUUCACUCAUGGUCUGACUACGGUACCAAAAUAAAAGAUCGACCCCAACAUGCGACACGGUCCCUGAUCGCCCCAAUUGGGCACCUCUACUGAUCAUUUGGAAAGACACAUAGUAUCGGCGAGAGUCUUCGUCGAACUCCCACUUGAGCUCAAGCGCAUCAUCUGGAACGGAAUCAUCGGUCCCUGCAUCUGGUUUGGAAGUAAUCUGUGAGUCACGGGGACUCAGCAAUCUCGCACCCUCGCGAUCAAGACUAUUUAAGCUUAUAGGUAAGGCAAGGUAAUAUGUGGAGCUGCAGCAAGCGACUAGCAUAUAUUGUGGCUAACCUGUUGGCAAAAGAGAGCGAGAAGAGAAGGCAAAGCAUGAAUGAAGAACUAUGAUCAAGAAGUGAUCCUAGAACAACCUACGUCAAUCAUUACUCCAACACUAUGUUCACUUCCCGGACUCCGCCGAAAAGAGACCAUCACGGUAACACACGUGGUUGAUUCAUUUUAAUUAAGUUAAGUUUCAUGUUAUCUACAACCGGACAUUAACAAAUUCCCAUCUGCCCAUAACCGCGGGCAUGGCUUUCGAAAGUUCAAAUCCCUGCAGGGGAGUCCAAACUUAACCCAUUACAAGCUCUCACGGUUAACGAAGGAUAUUCCUUCUCCCGAGACACUCCGAUCAGACUCGGUAUCCCGGUUCUACAAGACAUCUUCGACAAUGGUAAAAAAAGUCCAGCAACACCGCCCGAGUGUGCCGACAAAUCCCGAUAGGAGCUGCACAUAUCUCGUUCUCAGGGCACACUCGUAUAAGCAAUCCGUACAACUAAAACCAUCCCUCGAGUUUCCCCGAGGUGGCGCUGCAAGGGGCUCUAGUUUGGACCAACACUCAGAGGAGCACUGGCCCGGGGGGGUUUAAAUAAACAUGACCCAAGGGAAAAAGAGGCUAGGUGGCAAAUGGUAAAACCAAGGUUGGGCAUUGCUGGAGGAGUUUUAUUCAAUGCGAACUGUCAAGGGGUUCCCAUUAUCACCCAACCGCGUAAGGAACGCAAAAUCCGGGAACAUAACACCGAUAUGACGGAAACUAGGGCGACAAGAGUGGAACAAAACACUAGGCCAAAGGCCGAGCCUUCCACCCUUUACCAAGUAUAUAGGGGCAUUAAUAUAACAAGAUAAUAUAGUGAUAUCCCAACAAUAAACAAUGUUCCAACAAGGAACGAUCUCCAAUCCUCACCUGCAACUAGCAACGCUAUAAGAGGGGCUGAGCAAAGCGGUAACAUAGCCAAUCAACGGUUUGCUAGGACAUGGUGGGUUAGAGGUUUGACAUGGCAAUUUGGGAGGCAUGAUAAGAAAGUGGUAGGCAUCAUAGCAUAGGCAUAGCAAAAGAGCGAGCAACUAGCAAGCAAAGAUAGAAGUGAUUUCGAGGGUAUGAUCAUCUUGCCUGCAAAGUUGUCAGAGUUGACUUGGUCCUCGUAAGCAAACUCAAUGGGAUCCUCAUUAGCGAACUCGCCUCCCGGCUCUACCCAAACAAGACAAACAAGCAAAAGGAACAAAAUCAACCACAUGCAAUGCUCGAACAACAUGAUGCAAACAUGGUAUGCUAUGCGGGAUGCGGUAUGUGAUGCAUAUGCAAGAUUUGACAAGGAAUGAUUGAACCUGGCCUCAAAAUAGAAAUCCAAGAGUGCCACUAGAAAGUUGAGGUGAUUUCGGUCGAAAUCGAUAUAAAGAUCACCGGAAUCGGAUGCACGGUUUGGAAAUGGCAAGCAAAACAAAUAUGGCACCGGUCUGCGAUAAUCAGCAAGUAACCAUCUAAAUGCAUCAAGAUAAAUAUGCUACAGCACUCAAAGAUGACAACAAAAUACAUGGCAGGGAUCCACUCAUGAUGCUUGACAAAAUAUGAACACUGAUCUAUGGCGAAUUCAUCCAUUAACAGGUUCAAACAAGCAUGGCAAAAAUGCAAACGAUAACAUGUUUCAGACUUAGUGAAAUUAACACAAGUCUGGAAUUUAACAUCAGGUAGCACACUUUGGAGCAUGAAAACUAUAUACUACAGGAACUUAACAUGGCAAAGCAAGGCAUGGCAUGAAUCUACUCAAAGCACUUUACAAAAGUCCCUUAGUGACCUUGAGCCAAAAGGGAUCAGAAAAUACAAUUGCAAGCAUGUGAACAUGCAAAUCAGUUAACGAGUAGGCAUGUUUAUGAGCUCGAUGCACUCACUACAGAGCAUGGCAUGACCAACUAAGCAUACACCCAUCAAGAAUACAUGGCAUAGAAGCUAGACAUGGCAAGAACAACAACAUAGCAUGCACGGAUCAAUAACAACAUCCUCGGCAAAAUCGCUAACAAGUCAACAAUCUGCCAGGAUUCACGAAAUAGCAGAAGUAGAGCUCGAUUGACUCACGCUAGGUUGAUCCAUAAAUGCAAACAAAGACAUGGAUGGAUAGAUCACCACAAUGCUAACAAAUCAUCCUUACUGAUCAUCCUCAAAAGAGGCAUAGAUCACUAGGAAACAACAUGAACAUAUGGCAUAAUGACAAAAAUCAGCUCAAGGACUUAGUGAAAUUCCAAGUCCCUGAAAUCAGCAAUAACGAAUGCACUAAUUUGCAAGCUUGUGAUAGUCACCACACGUAUCACAAAAAUACACUGUAAGUACCUCUGUAAAUAUGGAAUGGCAUAUAAGAAAACACAUGUAGAGCUCAGGAGCAUAUCAUGCACACAUUAAUCGUGGCAAAAAUGACAAAUAUCUAUUUGAUGAAACAGAUGUGACAAUUUUAUCACAUAUCCCUCUUCCAACAGCAUUUCAGGCAUCAAGAUGAGCUCAAAUGAAAAUGAUACAAUGAGAUGAAAUGAUGUACUCUCCGAGUCGAACAUUCUGAUAGGCUACAUGCGCAAAUCGGAGCUACGGAUGCGGAGAUACGACAUGAUGAAAAACACAAAAAAAAACUAGGGUUUCGGGGGAAAGUCAACCCUUCGUUCCAGAUCCAGAUCUACUGUAGCUGCACGAAUAACGAGGUUCGCCUGAGGGAGCACUGUAGACGGCCUGAGAAGGUGCUGGAGCUCAAGGAAGAGGGGCCCCAAGGACCUCCCAGGCCAGAUCUCGCCGGAUCCGNNNNNNNNNNNNNNNNNNNNNNNNNNNNNNNNNNNNNNNNNNNNNNNNNNNNNNNNNNNNNNNNNNNNNNNNNNNNNNNNNNNNNNNNNNNNNNNNNNNNNNNNNNNNNNNNNNNNNNNNNNNNNNNNNNNNNNNNNNNNNNNNNNNNNNNNNNNNNNNNNNNNNNNNNNNNNNNNNNNNNNNNNNNNNNNNNNNNNNNNNNNNNNNNNNNNNNNNNNNNNNNNNNNNNNNNNNNNNNNNNNNNNNNNNNNNNNNNNNNNNNNNNNNNNNNNNNNNNNNNNNNNNNNNNNNNNNNNNNNNNNNNNNNNNNNNNNNNNNNNNNNNNNNNNNNNNNNNNNNNNNNNNNNNNNNNNNNNNNNNNNNNNNNNNNNNNNNNNNNNNNNNNNNNNNNNNNNNNNNNNNNNNNNNNNNNNNNNNNNGAGGAAGAAGAAGUCCCGGGCGGCGGCGGAGGAGACCCGGGCCGCGGGGGCGGGCCACGGGCCGAGCGGGCCCGCGCGGGAUCGGCGGCGAAGUGGUGCGCGCGCUGCCACGUGGCACGCCCCGGUUGGCGGCGGUGACUUGUCCGGUGGAGGCGGACGUGUCCAGUGGCGGCGGAGACGAAUUUCUAGGGUUAGGGUAGGAGAUGACCCGGAAAUUUUAAGGGGAGACCUAUAAAUAGGGAUAGAAGGAGCUAGGAGGCUCCAAAUUGAGCACGGUUUGCGGCCACGCGAUCGUGAUCGAACGACCGAGAUGAUGGAGGGGGCUUAGCUGGGUUUUGGGCCACUUUUGAGGGGUGAUACGCUGCAACACACACGAGGCCUUCUCGGUCACUCGGUUAACCGUUGGAGUAUCAAACGAAGUCCAAAUGGUACGAAACUUGACAGGCGGUCUACCGGUAGUAAACCAAGGCCACUUGACAAGUCUCGGUCCAAUCCGGAAAUGUUUAACCCCCACACAUGAAAAGAGGUAGAAAGGAUCACCGGAGGAGAUAGGAGCGCCGGAAUGCAAAAUGAACAACGGGGAAAAUGCUCGGAUGCAUGAGACGAACACGUAUGCGAAUGCAAUGCACAUGAUGACAUGAUAUGAGAUGCAUGACAAAGGCAACAAAACACGGAGACAAAACCCGAACCCGAGGAAAAUAAAAUAACUUAGCGCUGGAAACGGCAAGAGUUGGGAUACAUAUAAGGUAAAUUACAUCCGGGGUGUUACAAGUAGUGGUAGCAUGUCGAGGGGCACCACGGCAACCUCUAUAGGAUCGCCAAGUCGGUGUCGUGACCACCUGUGAGGAUCGGGCAUCAACAAGUAGGGUGUCUUGAAAAGAGCCGGCCGGUUGCAGACGAGUAGAUGGUGCAAAGACACCGAGCAUGCGGCCAGACGGACGGUUCUGAGUAGGUCCUUACGAUUACAGAUCUGCUCCAAGAGAACAUCGGGGAGGGAAUUCCAAUCACGGCUCUACAUGUCAGUUGGUUCUGCCAUUGGGGUUUUCGGUGCCUGCGAGCCAGUGGGGAAGUGGAUUCGGGCGGGCGAGUGAAGAAGCUUCUUCCCGUGUGGCCGAGUAGUGAGUGGGGGGAUAUGGUACGCGUGAGCUACCAAGGAAGAUAGCGCGGGUGGGCGAGCAGUGAGCGGGGGGGGGGGAUGGUGUGCGGCCGAUGAUGGGGAAGAGAGGAGGAAGAAGAUUGGAAGACGGGGAAGAAAGUGCAUUAAAUCUCAAUUCUACUACUACUACGAGGAUAUACCGUCCUUCGGAGUGUAAAUAGUUAUACCGAUGACAUGCGGGUCUACCACAAGAGGGCCCAUAUGUCAGCUAAUGGAGGACAGAAGCGGGCUCUACUGGAAAGCAUGAUGGCAGUACUAGGUAAGCCUGAUUUAGUAACACCAACACGCUGUUUCAGCUUAUUAAUUAAGUGUCCCAUCUGCUGCAGCGUUUAUUGUCACUUCACUGCGCAGACUAGUUGAAUAGUUCUCUCUGACCAAGAUGGGUAAUAAUGGAUCGCGAAGACUUCCUUUCUACAUUAUCCCUAUGCCUCUACGCUCACUUCACUUAUUUUGCUCCGUACGUAGUCACUUGUUGAAAUCUCUAGAAAGACAAAUACUCCAUAUUUGGGAAUAGAGGGAGGAUUUUACUCCGUAUUUGGGAACAGAGGGAGGAUUUUACUCCGUAUUUGGGAAUAGAGGGAGUAUCACCAUAUGGAGGGAACAGAGGAAGCUUGAAAUAUGAACAUGUCAAUAGGAGGGAGUAAGCCCCAUGCAUGCAUGCAUGCAAUAUGCAACACUCACGCACCCAUGCGGCACACAGCACAUGACGCAACACACACGCUCACGCUCAAGUGCUCAAACUACUCCCUAUGUCCGUGAAAGACUACAUUUAGAGAUUUACACAUUGACUAGGGCAUAAUUAACGCCCAAAAGUAGCAGACUUAUGUGUGCAUGCGACCAUUGAGAGAAGAAGAUUAAAUGAAGGUCGUUGCUUACUGUAAUUAAGAAUAGACAUGUAGCCUAUACCUAGAGCACAAGUUGGUGCAUUAGUCAAUCAAUAUCGAUUUAGAUUAAAGGCUAAAUGCAUUGGAAGUGUAGAUUUACUACACUCUUUGUUUUUUAGCCGAUGUACACUCUUUGUUGGAAGACCGAGGGAGUACACGUGCAUGCACUCACAUACACAGCCAGGGUGGUUCGCGUGCAAGGGUUGGACUCCUGUCGCGCCUGCGUAAAGUUUUGUUUAACUGAUUUCUUUGCUCUGCCAACUGACAGGUGGGACCCAGAAACCAGGUGACAAUUUAACCAGUGAACAAAGUGCCACGUCGACUAUGUGGCCGGUCAGUAGGGUGCAAUACGGUGCUCUAUGAUGAGCUAGUGAUCGUAUAAUCACCGCAAAACUAUAUAUAGUGAUUGUAAAGAGCGUAUUGUUACAUACGUUGACCGCUAGUGUAUUUUUCUCAUUUCAAAUUAAGCCAUAUUAACCGGAAAGGACGCAGUAUGGACUAAUACUAGUAUUGCUUUGAUGUGUCCCAUCAACUCGCCGAAUGAGGAGAAGCUUGCUUACUACGCCUCUCCCUCACCCACGCACGCGGUGGUUCGCAGGACGAGGAGAGGGUUUUGACUAUAGCGCCCUCUCCCUCUCCCUCGCCCUUGCCCUCGCGGUGGACGUGCAACAGUUCAAUCAGUGUCAGAUUGCUAGAAGCAUAUUGUACUGUAGUAUUAUGAUUGUUGGACCUUCCGAAGAGGCAAAGAGCCAAGUGCAAGGUUCACACGAGUACGAGCUGUUGAACCUCUCGAAGAGGCAAAGAGCCAAGCGCAAGGUUUUAUAAGAGUUUUCGUCCUAGUAGGAGUGUACUACAACUAUAGCGAACGAUGCUACUGUACGAUGCCUCCACGUCACGUAUAUCCAAAGCUGUGCCACCAUUUUCUCAAAGAGCAUGUUGGAGCCCGUGCAACAACCACACAAGUUGCACGUACACAUAACACAUUUACUAGUAAUAAAUUCUAAAGGACAAAUGCCAGUAUGCCACACAGAUUCAUCUCCAAUUCAUGUGAUAAAUUUGUGCACGACUAGUCUACAUAUAUUCACGGCGCUACUGUUCACAAUUUACCGUACUCCACUUACACGUUAUAGAUGGGCUACAUCUCCUCCUCCAGGUUCCAGUCCCAGGUGUUCUUCAUGGAUGGCACGAUCCAUAGCGGUGGGCAACGGGAAUCAUUGUCGCAGCUUUCUAGUACGGUUCCACACGAUGGAGACUCAUCCAAGCUGAAGCGGCAUAAAUCAGGGAUAGCGUGUCCCAGCAUGUCAUUCAUCCGAUGGUGUGCACUGAAGACACAACCAAGCUUCAUGAAUGGCAGGCCUUCCAUGUCGUGCACGGAAGGUGGCAUCUUCUUCACAAUGGGUAGCUGUCCCCAAUGAAAAGUGAGUACUCAAAGAGUGUUCCUCGACACCCACGUAGCAUCACGGGGGUCGAACUCGGUGCCGUUCAUCUGGUACACACGGCAUCUCAGAUCUGGACACAUGGUGACGUACAUAGUCAAGGUCCAUGCAUAAUAAUGUUGUGCUCAAAUAUGGCGGUCAGUAAUACUCUGCAACAAAUAGUACUACUCCGGUAUGGAGGAAGUAAAAUAAUCGGCUUUUAAUAUAUAGCCACUCUUGGCUACAUGGAUGAGAUAGUAAGACAUGGAAAAACGAAAAUGGUGGCAGCUAGUGGAUUCAAGUCUUCAAGGGCCUAGCUAGCUAUACACGUCCUCCAAGGUAAAAAGUACUCCUACUCCUACGUAAGUACUACCUCCGUCCGGGAUUAUAGGUCCGACCGACCGAAUCCGCAGGACCAAGGCAGAGCGAAGACACACACAAAUUCGUUGAUUCCCGAUGAUAUUAACUGCCGCAUGCACUGUUGCCUUUUGAGCUGAUCGCUUGCAUUAGCUGGAUUUUGCGCAUGCAAAGAAGGGAGCACUAGUCCCGGAAAAAAUGUUGGCAUGCAGCUAGACUCCUUCGCAUGCAGCGGCUGGAAAUUAAUCACUGGAACAACAAUCGAGGGGCAGUGGCCUAAUAAAAAUGUACGCGAUUGUGUUUGCUAAAGGGCCUAAUAUACCCGGACGGAGGUAGUAGAGUACUACUCGUAGUACAACCAUGAAAGAGAAGGCGAGAGGGUUAAAAUAUGGAAUACCUGGGUAGAUGGUGACGGUCCGAUCGUGGUAGACUGUGUGACCAUGUUGCACAUCAGUGGUACCAUGGGUAACGACUGCUAAGAUAGUUGAUCCCAAUAUGCCAAAGUCAGCUAAAAGAUUCCAUGUUAGACCGAAUCGAGGAUGCAAAUGCACAUCCAGGAUCGGUGAUCUUAUUUUGAUCGCGGGAUGACUGGUCCCUGCAAAAUAAGGGAGUACCAUUAGGGACGCAAAUGAUGGUUUGAGCAUUCCGUUUGUAAUCCCCUGUACCUUAGGAUGGGAACCAGAUGAAACAAGUCCCCUGGCUUGUCACCACGAAGAUGCGGCCUAGAUGGCCCACGGUGUCUUCGAACGUGUAGGGGUACAAAUCUGCCACCGCCAAGAUGCGCCAGCCUCUGCCAUUACUGCCUCUUGCAUUGAUGGCCAUCCUUAUGUCGAACACCGCGAUGAGAUAGUAAUCGUCGUAGCAACGUCGCUUUGUCGGCAGGUGUUGGAUCUCGGGUUCCGUCAAAACCCUUAAGGUUCGAUCACUGGGGUGCGCAUGAAGAUCUCUCCCUCACUGAUCAUGCCCUCAAGCACUUCACGAUCUCAAAGGCUAGGUCGACGAACUUGCAACACAAGAGACACAAUAUUUAUACUGGUUCGGGCCACCGUUGUGGUAUAAUACCCUACUCUAGUGUGUUGUGGUGGAUUGCCUCUCGGGGUGAGGAUGAACAGUACAAGGGGAAGAAGGGCCUCCUGAGGAGAGGUGUUCUUGUGCUUGGUGAGUUUGUGUGGUCGAGGAUGAUCUGAAUGAUCUGUCUCGGAUCAGAUGGCUGAGGUCCUCUCUCUCCUACUGUGGUGGCUAAUCCUAUUUAUAGAGGCCCUGGCCCUCUCCCCAAAUAUAGAGUAGGAACGGAGCCAACAACGACCAAUUUAAAAGGGGACAACUAGUAUAGCUUAUCCUGACAAAAGUAGUCUUCGCCUGCCAAAGGCUCUGGUGGUGACGCCGUCUUGGGCUCCACGAUGCCCUCUGUCUUUCUGUCCGGCUGGUCUUGGUCUCAUUGCACCGAUAUGGAAACAUGUUCUUGACACCUCGGUACUCUUCAUCUGUGCUUGCCUCCUUAGCACCAAAGAGGAAACAAGGACACUGUGCGCGUUGGCACCCGCCUGGCGCCCACCUAGUCUCGAUCGUCAUGGCUCACGUCAUAGCAACCUCGCGAGGUUUGUCUUCCCUUGAUCUCUCCGCCCCUCGCGAGCCAACCUAGUGAGGCUCCUCCUGAGGAGGUCUUGUGUCGUCCGCCUCGCGAGGCUUGGCUCCUCGCGAGGGUCUUGAAUGCUUGUUGGUGAAGAUGGGUCGUACGGGCCCGCUUGCAGAGCCACACCGUGGGCCGCAGGCACUCAAGUCUGGGGACCCCGUUCCCAGAACGCCGACAGUAGCCCCCGGGCCCAAGGCGCGCUCGGGCUUGGCUUCGAGGCGAAGCCAAGGGUCAAGUGCGGAGCACCGUGGGCCCCAAUAGCCUGCGGCCUUGGUUGACGCGUGGUGGCUGAUUGGACGUGGGUGUCUCCGCUUUCCCACGCUACCUUGGCAACUGGCCGACUGUGAAAAGGCUGGUGUAGAUAGUGCUUGCCUUCACUACUUCUUUUCACCUUGCUCCAGAUCCCCUUUCUUGCUCCCUGCUUCCAAAAUCUCCAGAUCUACUCCCAUCCCCUUCCGGAGGGUCAAGCUUGCCUUGUCGCCAGCUUCGUAUGAGCCAUCUCUCGACGCGCCCAACAUCUUGGAGAAGAACCUCGCCGCCACGCGCUUUCUGACGGUGGGGGAAAGCAAUGAGAAGGGGAAGACUGGGCUUCCGGCUGGCUCCGACGUGCCGGAGCCCGAGGGAAGGACCUUCUUCCCCUUCUUUAAGAGCAGCAUCGUCGCAGGGCUGGUUCCCCCCUUUUCUAACUUCUUCUACGAGGUCCUUGGCCUCUACGAACUGCAGGCGCUGCACCUUCAUCCCAACUACAUCCUCCUCUUAUCGAUCUUCGCCUACUACUGCGAGGCGUACCUCGGCAUGAUGCCGUCCGUGGACCUGCUGCGUCACUUCUUCUUCCUCCGCAUCAAUGAGGGUCAUACCUCCGGGUGUGCCAAUUUCAUCGUGGCCGGCAAGGCCAACUCAAUCUCGAAGAAGGGGAAGAACGUCGAUGGCUUCAGGAGCAAGUGGGCCAUGAUGGACGCCAAGUGCGUCCAUCCAUGCUUGAUGCUGCCGACGAAGAUGCCCCAGUCCGACAAGGCGUGGUCUCGCGCGAAGCUCACUGAUGAGCGGGCGACGUUGGUGCUGGAGCAGAUGAACGCUGACCUAAAGCCGGGCAACGCGAAAGCGGCAAAGGUGACAGGGGCCAUGCUCCUGAAGGAAUUCCUAAUGCUGCACGUAGCCCCACUUCAGGUGCAUACGCGCCCCUUGUGGGAGCUUGGGGACGAAGAUGACAAGGUUCGCCUGAGCCCAAAAGCCUUGCCCAGUGAUGAGUUGGCUAUGGAUCUCCACCUCCUGGUCGGGGACGACCAGGAGUACCGCCGAAUGUCUUCACUCCCAUGUUCCGCCGUAAGGACGGGGAGAAGGUCGUGGCCGCGAGGCCGACCUUGGAUGGGCGCGGGCUGGUGCCCCUGGGGCCCCUGCGGCGGCGACGCUGAUGGAGCUGUCUUCUGGUGAGUCCCGUGGGGAGGAAGAGGAGGAGGAGGAGGAAGACUCGGAGGUGACCCCUGAAGGGAGGGGGAGACCACCCCCUUGAUCAAAGCUGACAUCUUCCGCACCCUUGCUGAGGAAGACGAGGCUGACGCCCACCAGGAGAAGGGAGAGCCGCCCGUAAUCCUGACGAGGGAAUGAUCGGCGUUGAUCUCCUAGGAUGUUGCUUCUAUUCUGACGCCGCCUGGAGUCGCUUGCGGCUCAGCCGCCACUCCUGCUUCUGCAUCCGGAGCUGGCGCGCCCAUGCCUCGGGUCGCGAAGCUCUCCUGCUUCAGGCACCCGAAGCAGAGGGACUACGCCACGGUGGAUCGGUAAGUGUUCCCGUCUUUCCUUGUUCUUGCUGCUGAUGCUUGUUUCUGACUCUUCUUCCUUGUUGUGUAACUAGGCCGACGCCGGCGGCGAAGAGGAGAAGGGAGAGCGAGGUGGUGCUGCUUGAGCCCCGGUCGCCUCCUGCGGCUGCGCCCCUCUCCAUGAGCAAAGGUGGGGAUGGAGCUCGUGCAUCUCCACCCCGAUCAUCCUCGCGAGGCUGGGCGGAGCAUCCUCGGGAGAAGUCAGCCCCCCAGGCCCCGCUGACUCGGGAGGUGCCAGAGUCCGGCUCCGGUGUUGAGGUCCAAGAGGCUCAGGAACUUCCUGCUUCCUAGGCCAUGGUGAUGACGAUGCCUCUUCCUCCUCCUUCUGCCAUCCUGGAGCGAGCCCUUUCUGAGAUGGCCCGGCUGCGAGAAGAUCUCCAGAGUGCCGAACCCCUCCUGGCGGCUGGGCGCCUGGAGCUGGUCUUUGGUUGGCUUCAUUCUGACAUGUCCGUUCGGGCGGCGCUGAGCCAGGUCGCGGCGACCUAUGAGGGGGAGAAGCGUGCCGCAGCAUAGGCAGCAGUUGCUCGUGAGGCGGCGCUGAAGGACACCGAGGCCGCCCAAGGUCGCUGCCGGAUGCUGGAGGCCGAGUUGAAGAUCCUGCGUGAAGAGCGUGCCGAAGAUGCCCGUGGCCGUAAGGCGGAGGAAGAGAGGAUGAAGGCCCGGGAGGUCGCCGUCAAGGGUUGCGACACCGAGCUGGAGCAGCUGGCGUAGGCGCAGGCUGCUGAGCACGGCCAGCUAGAGGAGGUGGAGCAAAAGGAGCAGGCUGAGAAGGUCGAACUUGAUGCCAAGAUGAAGGUUCUGGCCGAGGACCGCACGACCUUCGCGCUUUUGAGAAGAGGUCUCACGAGGCUCUGAAGUCACUCUAUGAGAAGGGCUUGGAGAAACCGUUGGACACCAAUGAGGACGGCCCCACCCAGUUGUUUCCCUACUUGGUCGAGGCGCUUGAGGAAGUCAUGCGCGACAUUGGCCCCAUGGCAGAGGAAGAGGCUCGCAUCCUUUCUUCAGCCGCGCUGACGCGCGCCUUCAGCCACCUCCACCUUCACGAUCCUGCCGCCCGCCUUGACGAGCUGCCUCCCGUGGCUGAUGAACACUGCGCAGCUGCCGCCGCAACUGUGAAAGGUCAGGUGGAAGCCCUGCUGAAGAAGUUUGACGCCUUCGCCCCCGCGCCUUCGAUCGGUGGUGCAGGUGAAGGCGAUGCCACCCAGGAGGGGGCGCCUCUUGCGGGUGCCGGCGGUAUCCAGGGAUGACUGGCUUGCGGCUCCUUGCCUAUUGAAACUCCUGCAACAUGUAGCGUGCCUCAUGGAGGCGUUUAAACUUGUGUUUGAUAUUCGGAGAACAAUAUGUCUUGUAAUAUUUGCUUUGAGAUUUUGCGAUUACCUUUCCAUUUGCUUUACGUUCUACAUCAGCAGAGCCCGACCCUGCGCAUACCUCAACCGCUGUUGGGCCGAACGGAUCACCAGGAUGGACCAAGGAGUGAGGGGCUACGUGGUCAGUUCGGUUCCUGAGUCACGAUGCUCAGGAGUCCCCCUUGACGCGCAAACAACUUGUGGAAAGGAGAUGAAAUGGUAGGUCUUGUGUUCUACAUCGGCAGAGCCCGACCCCGCGCAUACCUCAACCACCAUUCGGCCGACCGGAUCACCAGGACGGACUAAGGAGUGAGGGGCUACGUGGUCAGUUAGGCUCCUGAGUUGCGAUGCUCAGGAGUCCCCCUUGACGUUCGAACGACAUUCAUACCUUGGCUCCGAUUGGGAGGCCGCGCGACAACCAGGUCCGCGGGACCUGGCAGGGUGGCGUGCGCUUGGGCGUGACCCGAGCGCCGCCCCCGUGCCUAGCCCCCUCACGCGGCUCUCUUGAGGGGAGGCAUUGCGAUGAGGCCAGACACCGAGCCCGGAGGCUCCCUGAGGUUGAUACGUCCGUGAGGCUGCCCUCAGUUGUUUAACACCAGGACGGCCAUGGCGCUUCCGCACUUGCACGGGCAUAGCCGCUCCUCAGUAGUGUCGACUACCAGCGCAGAGCAUGGUGCUCCCAUGGGUACGUGGGAGGGGACUCCCUACUACGGAGAGCCCCCGGGGCGUGUACAGCCCCGCCCUGACACGUGUCUUGCACGGUAGAGCUAGACGAGGUGUGUCUGGGCACUUGUGAGCCAGCGCGAGACUGACGAGGCCCUACCUCAAGGCAGGUUGUGCCUGUUCUUGAUUUUUGUUCGCUGUGGUGGUCCUGCGAGGCGGUUAGAAAACCUGUGGCAAACAAAUCUCCUGAGGUUAUCGCGUUAGAAGGCCAAGCAGCAACGGCCCCAGGAGGUGACGUGAACGGGGCCGUUGGAUUUAUCGACACCGCAGGGACGGGCCCAAGCACAUACGCCGUGCCUAACCCUCUCACGUGAAGGGUCCUGAAGAAAGACAAUCGGCGCGCGGAUCCCGUGGCAGGUGACAAUCAAGCAAGUGAGGUGACAGUCAUAGAUAGAAUAAGCAUGGAAAGCAAACUUGCUCAAGUAAACAUAGGGGAGAUACGUGCCACUGGGUCAGGCCCGAGCGGCAUGGGGAUGAUGCAGCCCGAGGGGCGCCCCUAGCAAGGUAAGCUAAAGACAUAAACAACAAAGUAUACAUGCCAUAUGGACGGACCCACGCGGCCUGGGAAUGAUGUAGUCCUGAGGGCACUCCCAGCUAAAUAAACUUGGGAAAUGUCACCUGAUUCUGUCGAUGGAGGGGUGUUGAGGCAGCUGAAGGUACGCAGCGAAGGGGUUGCUCCUCACGAGCCACCGGGGCUCUGAGCCUCGAGAGGCUCUGGGGGUCCAGGCGGUUCCUUGAGUACCGUCGCCAUCUCUACCAGGAUUGUGUGGUGACUGUCCUCCUGACCCACCAUGAUGCUCCACAGGUUCCACUGGAAGGCAGCAGCCAUGCUCGGCAGGCCGAAUGGCAUGCGAACGUAGUUGUGAGGUGGACCUUCGCAGCACCGAACAUGCGAAGGCCAGAAGCGCUCCUGAGAAGCGGCUCGGCUGAGCCCUGGUAUGUUGAUGCAGACGCGCAGCUCACCACCCUCGCCUGGGGGGAGCAGUGCCAAGUGGGCGGCAGUCGCCGCGUAUUGCUCUUGCUUCCUGAAGCUCCUGAGAUGCCUUGGUGAUGAACUCCUGAGCGCCAGGUGCUCCAUGCCCAGUGUCUCCGUGAGGGAGAUGUGCCGCGAAGAACGCCUCCAAGUGGUGCCCGAGCACCUCCCUCGUAACAUUCGCAAGGUCUAAGGCCCUCCAGAAAAGAGCCCCCGAGCCCUGCCCAAGGAGGGCGCCGGGCGCGCCUUCCUAUGCGACAGAGGGAGGUGCCCCCGGUGCAGGCGAUGAUCCUGAUGAGGUACCACUUGCGGCGUCGCCCUCCCGUGGUCCGGCAUGGAGUUGCUGCUUCUUCUCCUUGGGGACGACCUCAGGAGGGUACCGAGCUGCAUUAUUGUCGGGGUAUUCGAUUGAUGCUUCUUGGAAGGCACGCUUGAGGGAGUACACCGCAUCUAUUUUUUCGCAGGGGACUGUGAUGAUUCCACCGCUCCCUGGCAUCUUGAGGACGUUGUAGCCAUGGUGCGUCACUGCCAUGAAAUUGGCCAGGGCUGGAUACCCGAGGAUGGCAUUGUACGGCAAACGAAUGUGGGUGACGUCGAAGUCGAUGAGCUCAGUGCGGUAGUUGUUGCGUUCUCUAAAGGUGACGAGAAGGCGGACUUGCCCUAUCGGCAUGGUGGAGCCGUCAGUCACGCCCAAGAAGGGCUUAGUGGCUUGAAGCCGAUCGUAUGGCUCUUGAAGGUUGUCAAACGUCUCGACGGACAAGACGUUGUGCCCUACGCCGCCGUCGAUGAGGGUCUUGGUGACUUACACGUUGCUGAUGACGGGUGAACAAAGCAUUGGGAGAGCGUCGGCGGUGGCCGCGCAUUUGAGCUGGUCUGCUAAGCUGAAGGUAAUAGCGCACUUGGACCACCUGAGCGGGCGUGUAGCCUCGAGCUUGGGAAGAACUGCGUUCACCUCGCGAGCAAACUGCUUGAAGAUACGCUGUGAGGCUAGGGCUUGAGCUCCGCCCAAGAUGCAGGCGAUCACGCGGCUCCUGGAAGCCCCCAGCCCCAUCGUCCUGGUGGUGGUUGUCGUUCCUUCUUGGUGGUGGCAGUGGAGGAAGCCCAGCAUUGCCCUGAGGACGGUCCUCGUGAGGCUAAUCCCUCCAGGCACCUUCGUGAGGCUGAUCCUGCCAGCGGUUCUCACGAGGCUAGUUGCGCCACUCCUGGCGUGGGCCCCGAUCAUCCCAGCGUCCUCCGCCGCAUCCUCCUCCUCGGUCGUAGCCUCAGUCGUUGCGCUCGGGGCAUCGACCGAAGCGUCCAUCGCGAAUUGCCCUGAUCUCUUGGCAAUCGUUGGUGUUGAGGCUGUGUACGUUUUGGAAGGCGCAGAAUAGCCGGCUGCCCAUGGAUUGUCGGUGUUCUAGGAACAGGGGUCCCAGACUUUCCUGCCUGCGGCCCGUGACGUGGCUAAGCAAGCAGGCCGUACAACCCACCUUCAUCAACAAGGCAUCCAAGACCCUCGCGAGGCAAAGGACACAAGACCUCCUCUGGAGCGGCCUAGUCAAGUAGGCUCACGAGGAGUGGAGAUAACAACGCGAGGCGAACCUCACGAGGCUCUCGUGACAUGAGCCAUGACGAUCGACACCAGGCGGGCGCCAGGCGGGCUCCAGCGUGCGCAGCGUCCUUAUUUCCUCUUUGGUGCUAAGGAAACCAGUGCAGGCGAGGAGUACCGAGGCAUCAGGCAAAGGUUUCCAUUUUGGUGCAACAAGACCAAGACUAGAAGGACGGCAAGACGGAGGUCAUCGUGGAGCCCAAGACAGUGUCACCACCAGAGCCUUUUGCAGGCGCAGACCACCUUUUGUCAGGAUAGCUUGUACUAGCUGCCCCCCUUCAAAGUACACCUGUGUAGCGGCCUAGUGGGUACUGUCGGUGCUCUAUUCAGCCGCUCCUCUCACGUAGCUGGCCUACUAUAACACCCACGAUGCAGCUAUAUGUCCCACGUGUCGGGGCACGACUUAGAGGCAUAACCGCAUGCUAGGCAUGUCGCAAGUGGGGUAAUCUUUACACAUCCCAUGUACUGAAUAAGAAAGGGAUAAAGAGUCGGCUUAGAAUCGCCACUUCACACAAUACUUAAAAAUCUCAUACAUCAUCCAGAAUACAAUCAAUGUCCGACUAUGGAACCAAAAUAAAGAAAGACAACCCCAAAUGCUAGAUCCCCGAUCGCCCCAACUGGGCUCCACUACUAAUCAAAAGGAAAUGAAACAAAACAACGAUUAAGGACUUCAUUGAGCUGGGUUGCGUCACCUGCACUGGAAUCAACGGCACCUGCAUCUGUUUGGGACGUAUCUGUGAGUCACGAGGACUCAGCAAUCUCACACCCUCCUGAUCAAGACUAUUUAAGCUUAUGGGUAGGUAAGGUAGUGAGGUGGAGCUGCAGCAAGAAAUAGCAUGUAUGGUGGCUAACAUACGCAAAAGAGAGUGAGAAGAGAAGCAAAGCACGGUCGAGAGGCUAAAAUGAUCAAGAAGUGAUCCUGAAACUACUUACAUUCAAGCAUAACACGAGACUGUGUUCUUUGCCGGACUCCGCCGAAAAGAGACCAUCACGGCUAUACACGCAGUUGAUUAAUUUUAAUUAAGUUAAGUGUCAAGUUUUCUACAACCGGACAUUAACAAAUUCCCAUCUGCCCAUAACCACGGGCACGACUUUCGAAAGUUCAAAACCCGGCAGGGGUGUCCCAACUUAGCCCAUCACAAGCUCUCAUGGUCAAUGAAGGAUAUUCCUUCUCCCAGGAAGACCCGAUCAGACUCGGAAUCCCGGUUACAAGACAUUUCAACAAUGGUAAAACAAGACCAGCAAAGCCGCCCGAAUGUGCCGACAAAUCCCGAUAGGAGCUGCACAUAUCUCAUUCUUAGGUCACACCGGAUUGUCCAAGAUUCCGGUAGGCCAACCCAGAGUUGCCCCUGGUGGUCACCGGCGGCUGACAGGUUGGACCAACACUCAGAGGAGCACUGGCCCGGGGUUUAAAAUAAAGAUGACCAUUGAGUCUGCAGAACCCAAGGGAAAAAGGCUUAGGUGGCAAAUGGUAAAACCAAGGUUUGGCCUUGCUGGAGGAGUUUUAUUCAAUGCGAACUGUCAAGGGGUUCCCAUAACAUCCAACCGCGUAAGGAACGCAAAAUCAAGGAACAUAACACCGGUAUGAUGGAAACUAGGGAGGCAAGAGUGGAACUAAACACCAGGCAUAAGGCUGAACCUUCCACCCUUUACCAAGUAUAUAGGUGCAUUAAAGUAAAUAAGAUAUAAUAAUGAUAUCCCAACAAUAUCCAUGUUCCAACAUGGAGCAAAAUUCCAUCUUCACCUGCAACUAGCAACGCUAUAAGAGGGGCUGAGCAAAAGUGGUAACAUAUCCAAACAAAUGUUUGUUAGGAAAGGUGGGUUAGAGGCUUGACAUGGAAAUAUGGGAGGCAUGAUAUAGCAAGUGGUACGUAUCGCGGCAUAGCAAAAGAGCGAACAAUGAGCAAGCAAAGAUAGAAGUGAUUUCGAGGGUAUGGUCAUAUUGCCUAAGAUCCCGCAAGGAAGAAGAACGAGUCCAUGAAGAAGACAAACGGACGUAGUUGAACGGAUCCUCACAAACGCAACGUUACCGGAACUACCAAGAAGAAGUACACCAGAAAUAAAGCAAACAACAUAGUAAACAACCAUCAAAUAAACAUGGCAUGAUGCACAACCAAGUAUGAUGCAUGGCAUGGCAUAGUGCAACAAACAAUACUACAAAUUAAGUGGAGCUCAAUAUGCAAUGAGUUGCAUAUUGACGAAACACCACAUCAAUUAUUUAGUUCUCUCCCGUUUAUGUACCCAACAAUAUUAAAUGUUGUUUAGCAUGGCAAGAGGUGAAGCAUAAUUAAAUUAACGGUUUAGGCAAGUUUAAAUGAGGCCGGAACAACAAACAACAAUUUCGGGAAAUCCCCAUAUGCAUUAGCAAUUUAAUGCAACAACAAUUUAAACAUUCUUGAUGUUAUUAUCAUGAUGCAGAUGACAUUUGCAGGUUUAUGCAAGUAUAAGAAAAUGUUGACAUGAGCAUGUUAUGAAGCAUUUGUCAUUGUGGCGGAAACAAAAGGGGUGCCAUGGCGACAAUCACAAAAACGAUGCCACGACAACGUUCUGUUUCCGGUAACUCGAUUGAGAUGCCGGUGAAAAAGAUAGGGCAUGAGCGAGUUGAGCAAGAUGGUGGGGUGCUCCUGACUACCAGGUUCCCACCGGUUAGUGGCAUGGCUUACGACGAACGUGCAAGGAACAAAACGGACACGGUGCAAACAUAGGGUGCAUCUCAUACAACACAUGCAAUCGUUCUCGGACGGUCGUCUUGGGGUUAUACCUUCGAAGCAUGCAUUUCUGGACAGUUCAGGUUCGAUGUUAGCGGAAGUAGUGGUUCCCGGUUCGGAGGGGGACUUGACGAAUCCGAGUCCUUCGGGGUUCAAUGGUAGUGGUUCACGUUCUUAGUCGCACAAGUUUCCAUAGAUGUUCAGGGUCACGCGAGGAACUUGACGUCCAUGGAGUCUUCGCGGUUCGAUGGUACUUGACGUCCAAGUGGUCUCUGGGGUACUUGGCAUUUGUGCUACCCAGGUGUUCGGCACCUGAAGUUGUACAUGGUCCACGAGUCGUCGAUCAUUCGGGGUCUGACUUGCGUGUCAAAGCAGUGGCGACCCGAGGCCGCAGGUGACCAAGGCGGUGCAGCUCAUCUCCAUCGACGGGCAACCAUGUUGCUUCCUAGUUGGCGGAGGGCGUCGGCAGGAGACUGGCCCGGGGUGGCCUGGCCAUGGUCUUGUGGGCAAAGGGCGCAUGUGGAGAUGGCCACUUCGGUGGUGGCGCGGGAGGAAGGAGAGGCCGGCGUCGAGGAUGUCCGGGAGAAGGGGCGGACGAGGCGCGCGGCGCGAGGGCCCUGCUCCUCUGCGUGUGGCAGCGCAAGAGGACGAAGGGGAGAGGGACGAGGCUGACAAUGAAGUGUUGGGCCUCGGCUACUCGUGGAGGCUGACGCGGCUCUCCGGUGACGAGGAGAAGCAGGGAGAGAGGUGGCACGGGAGGUCCGACAUGGCGUCCUUGCGAGGCAAUGGUGUGGAGGGGGCGAGGUCGGGUCGAGGCGCAGGGGUCCUCUGCAAGGAGAAGCAGAGGCGGCAAGGCGGAGGAGGUCGCUGGCAGAGGAAUCGGGCGCGGGGGAGCUUGGCCAUGGGGAUCGGGAUCCCUCUCUCUGGUGUGUGCGUGUGUGCGGCGGAGGGAGACGAGGGAGAGGGAAAACAAGAGGAGAUCGAGGGAUCGAGUGGGCUAGGGUUAGGAUUAGAGAUGGGCCUUGGCUGGCCGGCCCAGUAGAGAGGGAGGGCUGCGCCUAGGGAGGCCGGAGGCUGGGCCUUAGGCCAAUUAGGUGGGGAGUGGAAAAAGGCCAGGAGGCCUGCUGGCUGUUGGGCUCCUUGUCUCUCUCUUACUCUUUUCAAAACAGAAAAAAUAAAGAGAAGAAAAGAAAGGUUAGAGAAAGACUUUGGGCAUGGGGAUAAUUUUCCUGGACUCGCAAAAAUGCACUGGUUCCAAGAAAAUAGAAAUGGCCAAGAUCGAACAAUAAGAAUUCAAACUCAUUUGAAUUUAAUUCAAAUGGGUUUGAACUAGGAUGAGGUUUUAGGAGUAUCCAAAAAUGUUGAGAAUUUUGGUAGAGCUCCGAAAAAUGGUAAAAGAAAUAUUGGCAAGGCUAGAGAGUCAAAACUUGAAGAAGAAAAGGCCAAGGGAUUUAAUAUGCAUGUGGGUUCAUGGGUAAUUCCAAAACAAUGGAAUAUUUUAUAAUAUCUCCCUAAAUAUCGGGAGGGUAUGUUUUAAAGAGAAACCACCAUGUGAGUUCCCUCAAUUUAAAUGGACCGAAGAUCCAUACUGUUUAUUUUGUUGAGUUGCAAAGAUUAAAGACAUGAUGACAUGAUGCAAUCCACAUGAUGCAGUGAUGAAUGCAACAAGCAAAAACAAAUCACACAACGAAUCUCGGAAACCCUAGAAGGCAUCUGAAGCUCUAGUCUUGGGGCGUCAUACCUACUCAGCCGCUCCUCUCUCACACACACUAGUAGCCUGUUUAUCAGCGACGGUUACUGCAGGGGGAGUACAUUUGAGUUAUUUGAUACAGAGAGACUAGGCUUUUUGCUUCCAUUUGUGGAGGUUUAAUGGAUCUCAUCGAACUUUGUUAGUAGUUCCUUCUUUAUGAAUGAGAUGAAGCAAAGCUUUUGCCUCUGUUUCAAAAAAACACGUCAAGAGGAAUUUCUUUUAUAGUAGAGCCGAUAACGGAGUGAAGUCCAUGCGUGCAACGCCACAAGCUACAGAGUAGUAGUAGAGAACUUUACAUACAGAGCCAUAUUGCACAGUUUCCAAUGCCCUACCAGGCUUUUCCGGCUCCUCGGGCUUAACUGGGAGGCGCUAGUUUAAAUAUGCUACUAGCUGAUGAGAAAGCUGCAAGCGAGGUGCGGCUAGGGAGAGCACGCGAGCCACAAGAUGCUAGGAAGGAAAACCCGUUCAUGUGGCUAGGCUAUCCAGUGCACCCAGAUUGUGGUGCCUCACGUCCAUUUGAAUUCAAAACUCAAACUACCCGUGUAAAAUAUUGGCUCGCAGCAAAGUUACUACUUAAAAAAAAGGCCGCCGUGCGUUCGGCCGGGAUCGAACCCACAAAACGAGGUAUACACUCCCGCGACCACUAGCAGUACUCGUUGGAGUACAACACAACCUAGGCCCUGUUUGGAUCCCUAAGUUAGAGUUAGUUUUAGUUAGUUGGGGCUCAAAUAACCCAAAAGUAUCCAAACAUGAUGGGUUAGUUUGGGUUAGUUGGAUCUAACCCACCCCAAAAAACUAGCCCAUACUAGUGGAGCUUAUUUGGGUUAGUUGUCCUAGGCCCACUAAAAAUAGUAAAAAAAGGUACCCCUCCCAUCCAAAUAGGGUCCAAAGUAGUGAAAUAUUUGAGAAAGAAUAUUUAUUGCCUAUCUAACCCUACCAUCCAAACAGCUCUUUUCUUAGAGUUAGUUUAGGGUUAGUUCAGGAUUAGAAUCUAACACUAACCUCUAAUGAGUUAGAGUAUCCAAACAGGGCCCUAGAAUCGCCUUUUGUCGCUAGUAGUACAUUGUUCCUUACAAGAAACCCCUAGUAAUGCAAGAAACCACUAAUAAUGCUAAGAAACUACUACCACUUUCGUACGUGGCAGAAUUAAGAUAAGACUACCAAAUCAACCAUUGUACAUGCUCUUACCAACCAGACCUAGCAAGAAAUGACUACUCUACAAAGUGCCGUUAUAGGCACGUUUCAACCAAUGGCCCUAUUUGGAUACAUUUUUUGUCAAUCUAACCCUGCCAUCCAAACACCACUUUGGUUAGAGUUAGUUCAGGGUUAGAAUCUAACUCUAACCUCUAACUUAGAGUAUCCAAACAGGGCCCAUGUGGCCCAUUAAGUCAAUGCCUUCUAUUCGACCGGGUGUUACGACUUGUGGGACCUACAUGUCAGUCUGCACAAAAAUCCCUGAGUUACCUCCUACCUCCGGCCCGUCAACCUAGUCAUCCUCGGCCAUGGGAUGCAGCUAUCGCCACCGGCAGAAGGCGAGGUCAAAACCGCCGGCAGUGCGGAGCCCAUCUUGCGGUAGCCCGGAUGCCAGCUCCAUCCAGCGCUCGCAGCUGCUAGCUAGCUAAGAUAGCUCCAUCCAGCUGCUUGUCUGGAAGGUUUGCUAGCUAGAUUGGCACAACGGUGCGGCGGCUUGCUCACGCGUGCCGAACUAAGGCCAGCCAUCUGGCUCGAGCGAAGGCCAGCGCGGCGGCUUGCUCGCUCGUGAGUCAUGCUCGGGCCAGCCUGCUGCUACCUCUUGAGCACAGCGUUCGAUUUGCUGUAAGAGGAAAGGAUGAUGCAGCACAGUAGCAUAAGUAUUUCCCUCAGUUUUUGAGAACCAAGGUAUCAAUCCAGUAGGAGUCUACACGCAAGUCCCUAGUACCUGCACAAAACAAAUAACUCCUCGCAACCAACGCGAUAAGGGGUUGUCAAUCCCUUCACGGUCACUUACGAGAGUGAGAUGUGAUAGAUAUGAUAAGAUAAUUUUUUUGGUAUUUUUAUGAUAAAGAUGCAAAGUAAAAUAAAGGCAAAGUAAAAAAGCAAAGGAAAUAACUAAGUAUUGGAAGAUUAGUAUGAUGAAGAUAGACCCGGGGGCCAUAGGUUUCACUAGUGGCUUCUCUCAAGAGAAUGAGUAUUUUACGAUGGGUGAACGAAUUACUGUUGAGCAAUUGACAGAAUUGAGCAUAGUUAUGAGAAUAUCUAGGUAUGAUCAUGUAUAUAGGCAUCACGUCUGAGACAAGUAGACCGACUCCUGCCUGCAUCUACUAUUAUUACUCCAAUCAUCGAUCGCUAUCUAGCAUGCAUCUAGAGUAUUAAGUUCAUGAAAACAGAGUAACGCCUUAAGCAAUAUGACAUGAUAAAAAAACCAUAUUGUUAUCCUCGAUGGCAACAAUACAAUACGUGCCUUGCUGCCCCUACUAUCACAGGGAAAGGACACCGCAAGAUUGAACCCAAAGCUAAGCACUUCUCCCAUUGCAAGAAAGAUCAAUCUAGUAGGACAAACCAAACUGAUAAUGCGAAGAGACUUGCAAAGAUAACCAAUCAUACAUAAAAUAAUUCAAAGAAGAUUCAAAUAUUGUUCAUAGAUAAUCUUGAUCGUAAACCCACAAUUCAUCGGUCUCAACAAACACACCGCAAAAAGAAGAUUACAUCGAAUAGAUCUCCACAAGAGAGGGGGAGAACAUUGUUUGAGAUCCAAAAAGAGAGAAGAAGCCAUCUAGCUAAUAACUAUGGACCCUAAGGUAUGAGGUAAACUACUCACACUUCAUCGGCGAGGCUAUGGUGUUGAUGUAGAAGCCCUCCGUGAUGGAUGCCCCCUCCGACGGAGCUCCGGAACAGGCACCAAGAUGGGAUCUCGUGGAUACAGAAGGUUGCGGCGGUGGAAUUAGGUUUUUGGCUCCGUAUCUGAUCGUUUGGGGGUACGUAGGUAUAUAUAGGAGGAAGGAGUACGUCGAUGGAGCAACAGGGGGCCCACGAGUGUGGAGGGCGCGCUUGGGGGGGGGGGUAGGCGCUCCCCCUACCUCGUGGCCUCCUCCUUUAUUUCUUGACAUAGGGUCCAAGUCUCCCGGAUCAUGUUCAGUGAGAAAAUCACGUUCCCGAAGGCUUCAUUCCAUUUGGACUCCGUUUGAUAUUCCAUUUCUUCGAAACCCUAAAAUAGGCAAAAAAAAACACCAAUUCUGGGCUGGGUCUCCGGUUAAUAGGUUAGUUCCAAAAAUAAUAUAAAAGUGGAUAAUAAAGCCCAAUAAUGUCCAAAACAGUAGAUAAUAUAGCAUGGAGCAAUCAAAAAUUAUAGAUACGUUGGAGAUGUAUCAAGCAUCCCCAAGCUUAAUUCCUACUCGUCCUCGAGUAGGUGAAUGAUAAAAACAGAAUUUUUGAUGUGGAAUGCUACUUGGCAUAAUUUUAAUGUAAUUCUUCUUAAUUGUGGUAUGAAUAUUCAAUCUGAAAGAUUUAAGAUAAAAGUUUAAUAUUGACAUAAAAAUAAUAAUACUUCAAGCAUACUAACAAAGCAAUCAUGUCUUCUCAAAAUAACAUGGCCAAAGAAAGUUAUCCCUAGAAAAUCAUAUAGUCUGGCUAUGCUCUAUCUUCACCACACAAAGUAUUUAAAUCAUGCACAACCCCGAUGACAAGGCAAGCAAUUGUUUCAUACUUUUGACAUUCUCAAACUUUUUCAAUCUUCACGCAAUACAUGAGCGUGAGCCAUGGAUAUAACAGUAUAGGUGGAAUAGAAUGGUGGUUGUGGAGAAGACAAAAAAGGGGAAGAUAGUCCUACAUCAACUAGGUGUACCAAUGGGCUAUGGAGAUGCCCAUCAAUAGAUAUCAAUGUGAGUGAGUAGGGAUUGCCAUGCAACGGAUGCACUAGAGCUAUAAGUAUAUGAAAGCUCAAAAAGAAACUAAGUGGGUGUGCCUCCAACUCGCUUGCUCACGAAGACCUAGGGCAAUUUGAGGAAGCCCAUCAUUCGAAUAUACAAGCCAAGUUCUAUAAUGAAAAAUUCCCACUAGUAUAUGAAAGUGACGAAAUGAGAGACUCUCUAUCAUGAAUAUCAUGGUGCUAAUUUGAAGCACAAGUGUGGUAAAAGGAUAGUAGCAUUGUCCCUUCUCUCUUUUUCUCUCAUUUUUUUAUUUGGGCCUUUUCUCUUUUUUAUGGCCUCUUUUCUUUUUUCUUUUUUUAUUGUUCGUCCGGAGUCUCAUCCCGACUUGUGGGGGAAUCAUAGUCUCCAUCAUCCUUUCCUCACUGGGACAAUGCUCUAAUAAUGAUGAUCAUCACACUUUUAUUUUCUUACAACUCAACAAUUACAACUUACUUAGAACAAAAUAUGACUCUAUGUGAAUGCCUCCGGCGGUGUAUCGGGAUAUGCAAUGACUCAUGAGUGACAUGUAUGAAAGAAUUAUGAAUGGUGGCUUUGCCACAAAUACGAUGUUAACUACAUGAUCAUGCUAAGCAAUAUGACAAUGAUGGAGUGUGUCAUAAUAAACGGAAUGGUGGAAAGUUGCAUGGCAAUAUAUCUCGGAAUCGCUAUGGAAAUGCCACAAUAGGUAGCUAUGGUGGCUGUUUUGAGGAAGGUAUAUGGUGGGUGUAUGAUACCGGCGAAAGGUGUGCGGUAUUAGAGAGGCUAGCAAUGGUGGAAGGUAGAAAAGUGUGUAUAAUCCAUGGACUCAACAUUAGUCAUGAAGAACUCACAUACUUAUGGCAAAAAUCUACAAGUUAUCAAAGCAAAGUAUUACGCGCAUGCUCCUAGGGGGAUAGAUUGGUAGGAAAAUACCAUCGCUCGUCCCCGAUCGCCUCUCAUAAGGAGGACAAUAAAUAAAUAAAUCAUGCUCCGACUUCAUCGCAUAACGGUUCACCAUACGUGCAUGCUACGGGAAUCACAAACUUUAACACAAUUAUUUCUCAAAUUCACAACUACUCAACUAGCACAACUUUAAUAUCACCAUCUUCAUAUCUCAAAAAAAAAUUUAAAACAAUUAUCAAGCAUCAAAUUUCUCAUAGCAUUCAACACACUCAUAAGAAGGUUGUUACUAUUCUUGAAUACCAAGCAUAUUAUGAUUCUAAGCAAAUUACCAUGCUAUUUAAGACUCUCAAAAUAAUCUAAGUGAAGCAUGAGAGAUCAAUAGUUUCUAUAAAACAAAUCCACCACCGUGCUCUAAAAAAUAUAAGUGAAGUACUAGAGCAAAACUAUAUAACUCAAAUGAUAUAAGUGAAGCACAUAGAGUAUUCUAACAAAUUCCAAAUCAUGUAUGGCUCUCUAAAAACGUGUGUACAGCAAGGAUGAUUGUGGUAAACUAAAAAGAAAAUACUCAAAUCAUACAAGACGCUCCAAGCAAAACACAUAUCAUGUGGUGAAUAAAAAUAUAGCUCCAAGUAAAGUUAUCGAUAGAAGUAGACGAAAGAGGGGAUGCCUUCCGGGGCAUCCCCAAGCUUUGGCUUUUAGGUGUCCUUAGAUUAUCUUGGGGGUGCCAUGGGCAUCCCCAAGCUUAGGCUCUUGCAACUUCUUGUUCCAUAAUCCAUCAAAUCUUUACCCAAAACUUGAAAACUUCACAACACAAAACUUAAAGUAGAAAAUCUCGUGAGCUCCGUUAGCGAAAGAAAACAAAAGACCACUUCAAGGUACUGUGCUGAACUCAUUAUUUAUUUAUAUUGGUGUUAAACCUACUGUAUUCCAACUUCUCUAUGGUUUAUAAACUAUUUUACUAGCCAUAGAUUCAUCAAAAUAAGCAAACAACACACGAAAAAACAGAAUCUGUCAAAAACAGAACAGUCUGUAGUAAUCUGUAGCUAGCGCAAGAUCUGAACCCCAAAAAUUCUAAAGUAAAUUGCUGUACGUGAGGAAUUUAUCUACUAAUCAUCUUCAAAAAUAAUUAACUAAAUAUCACUUUCCAAAUAAAAAUGACAGCAGUUCUCGUGAGCUCUAAAGUUUCUGUUUUUUACAGCAAGAUAUUAAGACUUUCCCCAAGUCUUCCCAACGGUUCUACUUGGCACAAACACUAAUUAAACACAAAAACACAAAAAAACAGAUGCUAGGUAAAUUAUUUAUUACUAAACAGGAUCAAAGGAAGGAAUAAAAAUUAAAUUGGGUUGCCUCCCAACAAGCGCUAUCGUUUAACGCCCCUAGCUAGGCAUAAAAAAUAAGGAUAGAUCUAGGUAUUGCCAUCUUUGGUAGGCAAUCCAUAAGUGGCUCUCAUAAUAGAUUCAUAAGGUAAUUUAAUUUUCUUUCUAGGAAAGUGUUCCAUGCCUUUCCUUAACGCAAAUUGGAAUCUAAUAUUUCCUUCCUUUGUAUCAAUAAUUGCACCAAUCAUUCUAAGGAAAGGUCUACCAAGAAUAAUAGGACAUGAAGGAUUGCAAUCUAUGUCAAGAACAAUAAAAUCUACGGGCACAUAAUUCCUAUUUGUGACAAUGAGAACAUCAUUGAUUCUUCCCAUUGGUUUCUUAAUAGUGGAAUCCGCAAGGUGCAAGUUUAAAGAGCAAUCAUCAAAAUCAUGGACACCUAACAAAUCACACAAGGUCUUUGGAAUCCUGGAAACACUAGCACCCAAAUCACAUAAAGCAUAGAACUCAUGAUCUUUAAUCUUAAUUUUAAUAGUUGGUUCCCACUCAUCAUAAAGUUUUCUAGGGAUAGAAACUUCCAACUCAAUUUUUUCUUCAUAAGAUUGCAUCAAGGCAUCAACGAUAUGUUUAGUACACGCUUUAUUUUCACUAUAAGCAUGAGGAGAAUUUAGCACGGAUUGCAACAAGGAAAUACAAUCAAUCGAAGAGCAGUUUUCAUAAUUAAAUUCUUUGAAAUCCAAAAUAGUGUGUUUAGCAACAUCUAGGGUUUUAAUUUGUUCAAUCCCACUUUCAUCAAAUUUAGCAUCAAGAUCUAAAAACUCCGAAUUUUUGGAACGCCUUCUAGGUAAAGGUGGAUCAUAUUCAGUCCCAUCAUUAUCAAGAUUCAUAUUGCAAAACAAAGAUUUAAUAGGGGACACAUCAAUAACUUUUAGAUCUUCAUCUUUAUUUUCGUAGGUAAUAGAAGAACACGCUCUUAUAAAGGCAUCUUUCUUAGCACGCAUCCUAGCGGUUCUUUCUUUGCACUCAUCAAUGGAAAUUCUCAUGGCUUUGAGAGGCUCAUUGAUAUCAUGCUUAGGAGGAAUAGAUCUAAGCUUUAAAGAAUAAACAUCAAGAGAAUUUCUAUCAACGUUCCUAGCCAACUCAUCAAUCUUAAGCAAUUUUUCUUCAAUCAAAGCAUUGAAAUUAUUUUGCGAAGUAAUAAAUUCUUUAAUAUUAGAUUCAAAAUUAGAGGGCAUCUUACUAUAAUUUCCAUAAGAAUUAUUGUAGGAAUUACCAUAAUUAUUAGAGGGAUUACUAGGAUAAGGCCUAGGAUUAAAAUUUCCUCUAUACGCGUUGUUAACAAAAUUGUUCCUACCAAUAAAAUUCACAUCCAUAGAUUCAUUAUUAUUCUCAAUCAAAGUAGACAACGGCAUAUCAUUAGGAUCAGAAGAAACACUCUUACUAGCAAAUAAUUUCAUAAGUUCAUCCAUCUUUCGACUCAAAACAUUAAUUUCUUCUAUCGCAUGCACCUUUUUAUUAGUAGAUCUUUCAGUAUGCCAUUGAGAAUAAUUAACCAUAAUAUUAUCUAGGAGUUUAGUAGCUUCUCCUAAAGUGAUUUCCAUAAAAGUGCCUCCCGCGGCCGAAUCUAAAAGAUUUCUAGAAGCAAAAUUAAAUCUGGCAUAAAAAAUUUGUAUAAUCAUCCACAAAUUCAAACCAUGAGUAGGGCAAUUACAUAUCAUUAAUUUCAUUCUCUCCCAAGCUUGUGCAACAUGUUCAUGAUCAAGUUGCUUAAAAUUCAUAAUAUCGUUUCUAAGUGAGAUGAUCUUAGCGGGAGGAAAAAACUUAGAGAUAAAAGCAUCUUUGCACUUGUUCCAAGAAUCAAUACUAUUUUUAGGCAAAGACGAAAACCAAGCUUUAGCACGAUCUCUAAGCGAAAAAGGAAAUAGCUUCAACUUAACAAUAUUGUUGUCUACAUCUUUCUUAUUUUGCAUAUCACACAAAUCAAUGAAGCUAUUUAUGUGGGUAGCGGCAUCUUCACUAGGAAGGCCGGAAAUCAGAUCUUUCAUGACAAGAUUUAGCAAAGCGGCAUUAAUUUCACAAGAUUCAGCAUCGGUAAGAGGAGCAAUCGGAGUGCUAAAAAAAUCAUUGUUGUUGGUAUUGGUAAAGUCACACAAUUUAGUGUUAUCUUGAGCCAUCGUGACAAGCAAGCAAUCCAACACACAAGCAAAGAAAAAGAAAGUGGGCAAAAAGAGGCAAAUAGAGAAAGAGAGGGAGGAUAGAGAGAGAGAGAGGGCGAAUAAAACGGCAAGGGUGAAGUGGGGGUGAGGAAAACAAGAGGCAAAUGGCAAAUAAUGUAAUGCGGGAGAUAAGGGUUGUGCUGGGUACUUGGCAUGUCGACUUUUGCGUAGACUCCCCGGCAACGGCGCUAGAAAUGGCUCGUUGUCGGGAGUCAAAUCUUGACUUGCGCGAACCUCCCCGGCAACGGUGCCAGAAAUUCUUCUUGCUAACUCUUGAGCACUGUGUUGGAUUUCCUUGAAGAGGAAAGGAUGAUGCAGCAAAGUAGCAUAAGUAUUUCCCUCAGUUUUUGAGAACCAAGGUAUCAAUCCAGUAGGAGGCUGCACGCAGGUCCCUAGUACCUGCACAAAACAAAUAACUCCUCACAACCAACGCGAUAAGGGGUUGUCAAUCCCUUCACGGUCACUUACGAGAGUGAGAUCUGAUAGAUAUGAUAAGAUAAUAUUUUUGGUAUUUUUAUGAUAAAGAUGCAAAGUAAAAUAAAAGCAAAGUAAAAAAGCAAAGGAAAUAACUAAGUAUUGGCAGAUUAAUAUGACAAAGAUAGACCUGGGGGCCAUAGGUUUCACUAGUGGCUUCUUUCAAGAGCAUGAUUAUUUUACGGUGGGUGAACGAAUUACUGUUGAGCAAUUGAUAGAAUUGAGCAUAGUUAUGAGAAUAUCUAGGUAUGAUCAUGUAUGUAGGCAUCACGUCCGAGAAAAGUAGACCAACUCCUGCCUGCAUCUUCUACUAUUACUCCACUCAUCGACCGCUAUCUAGCAUGCAUCUAGAGUAUUAAGUUCAUGAAAACAGAGUAACGCCUUAAGCAAUAUGACAUGAUGUAGAGGGAUAAAUUCAUGCAAUAUGAUAAAAAAACCAUCUUGUUAUCCUCGAUGGCAACAAUACAAUACGUGCCUUGCUGCCCCUACUGUCACUGGGAAUGGAAACCACAAGAUUGAACCCAAAGCUAAGCACUUCUCCCAUUGCAAGAAAGAUCAAUCUAGUAGGCCAAACCAAACUAAUAAUUCGAGGAGACUUGCAAAGAUAACCAAUCAUACAUAAAAGAAUUCAGAGAAGAUUCAAAUAUUGUUCAUAGAUAAUCUUGAUCAUAAACCCACAAUUCAUCGAUCUCAACAAACACACCGCAAAAAUUAGAUUACAUCGAAUAGAUCUCCACAAGAGAGGGGGAGAACGUUGUAUUGAGAUCCAAAAAGAGAGAAGAAGCCAUCUAGCUAAUAACUAUGGACCCGAAGGUCUGAGGUAAACUACUCACACUUCAUCGGAGAGGCUAUGGUGUUGAUGUAGAAGCCCUCCGUGAUGGAUGCCCCCUCCGGCGGAGCUCCGGAACAGUCCCCAAGAUGGGAUCUCGUGGAUACAGAAGGUUGCGGCGGUGGAAUUAGGUUUUUGGAUCUGUAUCUGAUCGUUUGGGGGUACGUAGGUAUAUAUAGGAGGAAGGAGUACGUCGGUGGAGCAACAAGGGGCCCACGAGGGUGGAGGGCGCGCCUGGGGGGGAGGCGCGCCCCGUACCUCGUGGGCUCCUCCUUUAUUUCUUGACGUAGGGUCCAAGUCUCCCAGAUCAUGUUCGGUGAGAAAAUCACAUUCCCGAAGGUUUCAUUCCGUUUGGACUCUUUUGAUAUUCCUUUUCUUCAAAACCCUAAAAUAGGCAAAAAAACAGCAAUUCUGGGCUGGGCCUCCGGUUAAUAGAUUAGUCCCAAAAAUAAUAUAAAAGUGGAUAGUAAAGCCCAAUAAUGUCCAAAACAGUAGAUAAUAUAGCAUGGAGCAAUAAAAAAUUAUAGAUAUGUUGGAGACGUAUCACCUGCCAACCCGUGCGGAGGCUAGUGCGGCGUCCGGCCCGUCCGGUAGAGCGGCGGCCAACUCGCUCAUCACGGGCACCACCGACGAAAUCGCAUCAGUGCUGUUUGAAGUAAUGUUCAGGAAAAAUAAUGAUUUGAGGGGGAAUAACAGGAUAGAAGGUCAGAUGUGGGUCCCUCGUGUCAACGAUCAAACAACAUGUGUUGGUUUAAGCUGCCUCGUCAGCAUGGACGUGUGGGCCAAUCCUGUCAUAAAUGGGUUUAAACUAACCUAAUCAACACUCCCUCUGUCCCAUAAUAUAAGAUGUUUUGGCAAGCUAAACUAGCUUGCAAAAACGUCUUACAUUGUGGGAUGGAGGGAGUACUAGGUAGUAGUUUUUGGCGUGGAUUAGGAAAUUUUGGGUAUGUUUUUGCUAUUUUUUGUACAAUACAUUCUUACUAGGGCUGGUUGAAAGUGGUAGUUUUUUGUUAAAUACUCUACAUAUUGUAACUAGGAGCGAAAGUUAAGCUUUGGAACCCAAUAAGCAAGGCUAGUUACAUAGUGCAUAUGUGUACAUGAUUGAAAGUAAAUAUCAACCAUGAGUGAUUAAUAUCUUGAUGGAAAACUCGAAACUAUGGAAUACUAGGAAAAAAAUUGCAUGGUUGGAAAUACGAGCAAUGUUCACGUGCGUUCCAAUGAAUCAUAAUUAGAAUAAUACUUAUUCACAAACUUGAUACAAAACACUCUAAUUUUGAUGUACAUAUAUCACUAGAGAUAUAUUAUGUUUCAAUUAGAAUAUAUUCCUUGGGCUGUUUUGGUGAGGUCAGGGAGGGAUGUGGUUAGUUUUAAGAUACUACUUAUGGGUUUUUCUGCAAAUUGGUAGACAAGUGGGAUGUUGGUGAGAAAAGGCAACAACCUACCUCAUAGUCGUUAGAUGUAGAUCUAAUGGUCACAAACGACGGAUGGCAGACACACCAUCAUCACCAACUUUGUCACACCCUAGCUAGUCAUGCAUUAGAGUGUUGCAUCAUGUUUACUCAUUCAUCAGAAACUUGAAAUGGGGAUGACAGAACCCCCAGUCCCCUCUGAAACCAACUAGGGUUACUAAAAUAAUUUUUCAAUGAACCUGAAAUGCCCUUCUAAAAUGCCCAUCAUUUUUGUCUUGGUUCAGAACCUCUGCCAAAAAUGGUGCACAUUUUCCUAGGCCAUCCUAGGGUUUUUGAAUUAAAUCAUAAAUAUUUGAAUUUGGGCAUUUAAAAUAGUAUAAAAUAUUUAAAUGCUCAAAUAUCUCCAAACUAAAAUGUUUCAUGUUGGAAAUAAUCCAACUAUGGGCCAGGAAUAGUUUGGCGAUUUUUGAAGUUGCCUAGGUAUUUUAUUAAAUUCAACAAAGUUGCAGAUAUAUAUUAAAUAAAACAGAAACAGAAGAAAAGGGGAAAACUUACCUUGGCUCCUCCACUGUGCGGCCCAGCCAGCAGCCGACCCAGCCCAACACUGCAGCCCUCCGUCGUCUUCCUCCCCUCGCCCCGAAGCUGCUGCGUGCUCGCGCGCGCACGGCCGCGCGGCCACCUCCUGCUUGCCGACGAGCUCCUGGCCGCGUGGACGACUCCCGCAGGCCGUCCCGAUCCCCCCUGCUCUCUCUCACUCUCCCCCGGCUCUUCCUUCCUCUCCCUCGCUCUCUCUCUCACACGGCCGAACACCACCGUCGCCGCUGUUCGCCGUAGCAGCCAUCUCCGGCCACCCCUCGCUCCCCCGACUAGCUCAGAAGCUCCGCCACAACCCCCUCUUCCUCCCCACCGCUCCACAGCUCCCCGGAAGCCCGGCAUCGCCGCCACGUCGCCGUUCCCCUCUUCGGGCUCCGAUCAUCGUCGCCGUCGAAUUCGCCAUCUCCAGCGCGUCCCCGAGCCCGCUAACCAUCCCUGCAGCUCCGCGGUGAGCCCCCGGAUCGUUUCCCCCUUCUCCCCUGGUCUCUCCCGACCUCUAGGCCCUAGCCCCACCUUGGCCGAGAGCUCCACGCCGCCGGCGAUGUCGCCGUCGUGGCCACGGUCACCGUAGCACCCAACCGAGCACACUAUCGUGCUCUACACCUCACUAGGAUCACGCAGCACACACUAGCGCCUCCCCAAACCCUCUGCAACAUCGAUCCCGACCGCACCCGAACUCCGGUCGCCGCAGCCGAGCUCGCCGCCGUCAACUCCGGCCACCCCGAGCCCAACCACCACCACCAAUAGUCGCGGCUCAACCUCGGCAACACGUAGAUGCCUUCCGCCGUCCAUUUGGUUGCCGGAAUGGCAAAAAGCACUUUCGCCGCCGUCUCGGACCUCGCCGGCGUCAUGUCGCCGGUGGGGUUUGACUUGUCCGACCUGGGGUUUGACCCCCCAGGGUCACUGACGCGUGGGCCCUGUCGGCCAGGUGGUUAGAUUAGCGCUAACUACUGUUAGUCAACCCCCCCUGACACUGACAGUGGGCCCCAGCGCCACUAAUCCCUAAUUAGGAUUAAUUUAAACCUGUUUAACCCCCCCUGUCACUGACGUGUGGCCCCCACACGUCAGGUUUGACUUCAGCCAGCCGCAGUUGACCACUGACGUCAUGCUGACGUCAUGCUGGCGCAAUAAUUAUAUUUCUGGAUUUAAAUUAAAUCAGGAAAUUCCAGAAUAUUAUUUAAACUUCAAAAAUUCAUAACUUUUAUUCUGUAACUCCAAAUUGGACAAAUUAUAUAUGAAAAAUGAUCAGAAAAAUCCAAUCUAUCCAUCCGUACUAUUUUCAUGCAUGAUCAAACAAGUUAAAUUGAUGUUUUAAGCAGAACAAGGAAAAGCACUUUAAAAGGCCAUGUUUGAGUUUGAAAUUUGAAUCUUUGAUUCAAAUUUGUUCAAACCCUUCUGGUUUUAGUUGCAUUAGCCCAACACACUCAUAUUGCCAUGUUUCAUGCAUGCAUCAUAUUGUUGCACAUUGUUUGGUGAUGCUUGUGUAUCGAUGUCCUUUGCGACAGGUUCUGUCCCCGAGGAAUACCGUGAUUACCCUAACGAAGAACCAUAUCAGUGCAUCGAACCAUCAGGCAAGCAACCAACCAUUUGAUCAUAUCGAUACAAUCCCAUGUUCUCGCUCCUGCUCUCUUUUACUGCAUUAAGACAACGCGAUUCAAACUACUGUGUGCUACGGUAGUUGAACCCAUUUCCUCUGCAUGACCUGUCAUUGCCACAGUAACUAGAUGAAACCCACUAGCAUGUGUAGGAGUUGAUUGAGCCCUAUGUAUGUGUUGUUCCUACCUUGCUAUGCCUGCUAUGCUUAGAGUCGUGUCAGGUCUGGUUCAUCUGGGUGAUGGGCUGGAGUGAAAUGUUAUGUCGGUAAUGAGAGUGGUGUGGUGAACACGAUUUGGUAAAGGUAUCGAUGAGAGGCCAUGUAGGAGUACAUGGUGGGUUGUUUCAUUGAAGCCGACCUUAAGCACUGAGAUCUGUAUGUGUGAUUUAAGAUACAGCUACUACCAUGCAUUGGGCCCUGAAAUAUGACCCCGCUCGACUUCUUAUUCACCCUAGCUCUCUGUCCAGGAGUUGCAAGUAGUUUCUGGUGUUUUUAGCCUACUGGAGGCCGUGGACAGCGCUGACCGUAGGGGUGGGCUGUGAUGCGGUAGGUACGUGGCACGGUGUACCGAAUACCCGUUAGGUAUCUCGGGAACCCUGUUCACAUCGUUCGGGGCCGUAUGGGAAACCUCGGCCGGACUCCCUGCGGAUGGAACCUGAAUAGGCGAUAAACCUGGACUAGAGGCUUAAGUGUUUAGGUAGGUCGUGGUCUACACCCACGUCGGCUUUCGCUUGAAGUCUGCCGAGCACAUGUCGUGUGCAGACGCUAAGUGGUGGAAACAUGUAUGAAGAAGUACACCCCUGCAGGGUUAACAUGAUCUAUUCGAAUAGCCGCGUCCGCGGUAAAGGACUACUUGGUUGCCUAUACAGUUCAUAGACAAGUAAAUGGAAACUACUAAAAGCCUCAAGAUAAGUGUGAGUGCCGAGGAUGGCUCUUCCGUAGGAAGACGGAGGUGGAUCCUCGGUAGUGUAUUGAAGUGGUGAAUAGUGGACUCGUGUGCGCAAAACAAUUUCAACUUGGAGUAUCGUAGGAUAGUCUAGCCAAGAGUCAAAGCUGGCUUGCUGCAAUAACUCCACCAACCCUUCUUGAUACUAUGCAUGUAUGUAGGAUCUGAUGUAAGUCUUGCUGAGUACCUUUGUACUCAUGUUGCUAUAAUCUACAUUUUUACAGAAGACGCUGCAACCCCUUCUGAUGGGUUCUAUGUAGACGUUGACAUCAACGAGUAGGCUAAAGACCCAGGUGGUGACCCUGAGCUUGUGAAGGACCACGUAGUAUAGCUAGGCUUUCCAAGCCUCUUUUAUUUUACUAGUUGUCUGUACUCAGACAAGUUACUUCCGCUGCUGGUUUGUAUGACUGUAUGACUUGUAUGUUGGGUCGUGAGACCCGUACCUUUGUGUAUGAUAUGUAUGGCUCCCUGAGCCUUAAAUAAAGUACUUGUGUCAUAGAGUCAUGUUGUGAUGCUUCGUUGUAUUUGCACAUAUCGAGCAAAUUGUGUGUAUGAUUGAAAUGCUUGGUAUGUGUGGGAUCUGACUAUCUAGUUGUUUAUCUUUAGUAGCCUCUCUUACCGGGAAAUGUCUCCUAGUGUUACCGCUGAGCCAUGGUAGCUUGCUACUGCUCUGGAACACUUAGGCUGGCCGGCAUGUGUCCUUCUUCGUUCCUGUGUCUGUCCCUUCGGGGAAAUGUCACGCUUUGAGUACCGGAGUCCUGUUAGCCCGCUACAGCCCGGUUUACCGGAGUCCUGCUAGCCCAGUGCUACAGCCCGGACCCACUUGCUGAUGACCGACACGUUCGAAGCUGGGUCAUGGAUGCCUGUCCCUGUAAGUCUGUGCCACUUUGGGUUUACGACUAGUCAUGUCAGCCCGGGCUCCUUAUCAUAUGGAUGCUAGCGACACUAUCAUAUACGUGAGCCAAAAGGCGCAAACGGUCCCGAGAAAAGGUAAGACGACACCCGUGGGGAUACCGUGCGUGAGGCCGCAAAGUGAUAUGAGGUGUUACCAGCUAGAUCGAUGUGACAUCGAGUCGGGGUCCUGACAGCGUUGGCAUCAGAGCCGGACUGCCUGUAGGUUCUCCAAGCCAAACUGGUCGAUGUUGAGUCUAGAAAUUCUUUAGUUAUAUGUAGGGGAAUUGUUUGUGGGUUGGAACGUAAGGCUCUUUUUACUCCUUAUACCUUAUGACAUUCUGAUCUGGGUCAGUCCAUUCUUCCACCGGGGGUUAAGGAAUUAGGAUCUGUUCUCUCUAUCAGGAUCACGAGUUACUAAUCAGUAGUACCUUAUAAGUUUGAUGGAUACAAGCCUAGUUCAGUUCUACUACCACAUUAUGUUGCCAGAAUAGUUUCAGAACUUUGAUAUGGUGAUGUUGAGUGUGUACGAAAUCCUUUGGUCAAAUGUCUCAAAUCCUUUUUGAGCAUUUACAGCUGUUAUGCUGCCGAAAUUUUGCUAGAAAUUCUAAUGCCUUUGCAUUAUGAUUGUGCUUUCAGAUGGCCACUCGCGACCUUAAUCAAGUGGUUCGCCUGACUCGAUGCCUAGAUUUACCCGGCCAUACUGCUAAGUUGGUCAGGGUAAUGACUGAGGCUGGAUACCGCUGGUAUCCCGAGUACACGGUCGAAGAGCAAUUCCGAGAUUUUAAUCAAAGCCAGUAUCUCUGCACUGUCAGGAUAUUUCCAUCUUAUCCUGGAUCCACCGAGCCUCUUCACUGCUCCUAUGGACUCGGGGUUACCAUUGAGAUGGCUGUGCAGGACGCCGCCUACUCUAUGAUGACCAUUAUGCGAAUCAGAUCUGGUCUAUUCCGGGACUCUGACUUCCGGUAUAUGCCAGGAUCACUUCCGGGAGCACAAGGGUAUCUCCAGGCUAUCUAUGCUGACUCCACUCAGGAGGAUUCACGGACUCGCACCACUGCUGAGAUGCUCGAGGAUAAGGACCGUGAAAAUCGGGCCUUGAGGUUAGAGCUCUUCAAUACCCGUGCUGACCACUGGGCCACUUUGACUCGUUUCGCACCGGCGGUGCAAGCUGGAUAUUCAGAUAUGCACGAUCUCUAUCCUGUGAGAUCUGCUCUGCCAGACGUGAUGGUUUGGCGUGAUGUAGGAGGCAUCACCCCACCUCGCGGUCCCCGCAGGCCACCGUUUGUUGGUCCAAGGCCUCAUCCUAGCCCCUAUGGUCCACAAGCUCCGCGAGACCGUCUGUUUCCGGAUGAUCAUGUUGAGCUUCCAGGCUAUGGAGGUGACUUCUACGAGGACUACUACGGAUCGGUCUGAGUUAGGGGUAGUAUCACUAGUUCGCACUAGCCGUGUCGUCUAUCGUCCUGCGUGACUCGUGGGAUAUGACCUAGUUUGUACUCUUUCCGGAGAUGUAGAAAAAUAAUCUAUAGGAGCUUGGAAUGCCUCCGAUGAGAUGUAAUCCUCUUUUCACCGUAAUAGUACUUUGUUUGGUCUUGUACUAAACCCUGUAUGGUGUGUAUGACGAUGGAAUAAAAGAAGCAGUUUCUGUAUCUACCAUGUCAUACGGAUGAUCAUCUUGCAUUCCGAGUUAUUCCUUACAUUAUGUAUCCUAUGUCGGAAUUUUACCAUCCUGACUAAAUCAUUGUCUUGUUCACCUAGGAUGGUCAACACGCGCGCUAACCCUGCUUCCCAAGAGCAGGCCGAGGGCAGUGAAGGCAGGAAUGAAAAUCUGCCUCAUCCUCCUUCACUGGCCGAGGUUAUGAUGGAAGCUGAGAGAAACAAGCGGGAGACCAACCGUUUGUUGGAGCGUAUUGAACAGAACACGGCACACCAUCAGAGGACUAACGUGGUGUAACUCAGUGAUUUUAUCAAAUUGCAUCCACCCACGUUCCACCACUCCGUCGAGCCUCUCGACGCUGAUGACUGGCUUCGCAGUAUCUCUCACAAACUGCGUUCCGCGCUGGUAGCGGAGGCUGACAAGGUCACCUUUGCUGCAUAUCAUCUUGAAGGCCCCGCCAGUCUAUGGUGGGAGAAUUAUGGAGCUAUGCGCCCAGCGGGCCAUGUCACUACUUGGGCUGAGUUCAGCGAGGCUUUCCGUGAACAUCACAUUCCGGAGGGUCUCAUGGACCGUAAAUGUGAAGAAUUUUGCAAUUUCACCCAAGGCCGACUUUCUGUGGAUGUCUAUAGCAGGGAGUUUGGUAAUCUCGCGCGAUAUGCAACUGAGGAAGUGUCUACUGACGCCAAGAAGCAAGCAAGGUUCCGUAAGGGCCUUAGUCCUGAGCUUCGCCGCGACCUCCGUCUGCAUGAGUGCACAUCUUUUUCGAAACUUGUCAACAAAGCCAUCAGUGCUGAAACUGGUCAGACUGACUAUGACGCAACACGCAAGCAUGGCCGUGACAUGGGUUCCUCAUCCGGUGCUGGUCCUCAGAAGCGCCGCGUGUGGGUGCCCAACACCGCCCUGCCACCCAGGUUCACACCGAGGCCAUCUUUCCAGGCGCCUCGCCCUGUUCAACAGUCUGCUCCAACCAAGCCCUAUGGGGGUCCAAACAAUAAUGCUCCUCCACGUACCAGUUCCGUGACUUGUUUCAAGUGUGGGGAAUCUGGCCACUAUAUGCGUGAGUGUCCCCAGACCAACCCCAAUCAAUCUGCUAAAGCUGUUGGCCGUGGCAAGCCGACAGGAAAAAUAUUCCACGCCAAGCCGGUCGGUGCUUCACGUGGCCAUGUCAACUGUAUCUCUGCCGAAGAAGCUCAAGAGGAUCCCAACGUCGUUCUCGGUACGCUUCUUGUUAAUUGCCACCCGGCAUCUGUUCUUUUCGAUACAGGAGCCUCUCAUUCUUUUAUAUCUGAAAACUAUGCUCGCUUGCAUAACGUCGCAUUCGGUGAUAUGCCAACCUCUAUGGUAAUUCAAACUCCGGGAUCCAAAUGGCAAACCUCUAGAGUAAGCCAUGGAAAUGAAAUCCAAGUCGACAGACUUGUUUUCCUUGCAUCUUUGAUAGCCCUUAAAUCUUCAGAUAUUAAUGUCAUUUUGGGUAUGGACUGGAUGUCAGCUCAUCAAGCCAAAAUUGAUUGCUUCUCUAGGACUGUUCAACUCAUCCAUCCUUCGGGGAAGAUAGUCAAUGUCUUGACCCGAAUAGCCAAGCGACAAUUAUAUUCUCUUAACGCCAGCCCUUUGCCAGACCUUGAGGACGUUCCGGUAGUCCGUGACUUUCCGGAUGUCUUCCCAGAGGAAUUGCCAGGUGUUCCACCUGACAGGGAUGUUGAAUUCGUAAUAGACCUCAUUCCAGGAACCGUUCCGAUUGCUAGAAGACCUUAUAAGAUGGCACCCUUAGAACUAGCCGAGCUUAAGAAACAACUCGAUGAAUCCUUGAAAAAGGGUUUCAUCCGCCCUAGUUCAUCUCCGUGGGCAUGCCCCGUCCUAUUCGUCAAGAAGAAGGAUGGUACGGACCGGAUGGUUGUAGAUUACCGACCUGUCAAUUUGGUCACAAUCAAGAACAAAUAUCCACUUCCCAGGAUCAACGAUCUGUAUGAUCAGCUCGCUGGAUCCUCAGUCUUCUCCAAGAUGGAUUUGAGGUUGGGAUACCAUCAAAUCAAAAUCAGAAACGGAGACAUUCCCAAAACGGCCUUUGUUACUCGUUAUGGCCAAUACGAGUACACCGUCAUGUCCUUCGGUUUAACCAACGCUCCAGCCACUUUUUCUCGGUUAAUGAACUCAAUCUUCAUGGAGUAUUUGGAUAAAUUCGUCGUAGUUUAUCUCGAUGAUAUACUCAUCUACUCCAAGAACGAGGAAGAACAUGCCGAACAUCUAAGGCUAGUGUUGCAGAAACUUCGAGAGCAUCGCCUUUAUGCCAAAUUGUCUAAAUGUGAAUUCUGGUUGCCAGAAGUGACCUAUCUGGGUCAUGUAAUAUCUGGUAAAGGUAUUGCUGUUAACCCUGAGCGAGUUCAAGCCGUCCUUGAUUGGACUCCGCCUGAAUCGGUCAAGCAAGUUCGGAGUUUUCUAGGCUUAGCGAGCUAUUGUCGUCGCUUUGUCGAGAACUUCUCCAAAGUUGCCAAACCUCUAACCGAACUCCUCAAGAAAGAUAAGAAGUUCGAAUGGACUCCACAAUGUGAGCACAGCUUUCAGGAACUGAAAAGACGCCUGACCUCUGCUCCCGUACUGGUACCGCCAGACUUCUCCAAGGACUUUGUUAUCUACUGCGACGCCUCGCGACAAGGACUAGGCUGCAUUCUUAUGCAAGAUCGACACGUAAUUGCUUACGCUUCACGGCAAUUGCACCCACAUGAGGAGAAUUAUCCUACUCAUGAUCUAGAGCUUGCAGCCGUAGUCUAUGCACUUAAGACCUGGCGACAUUACCUCCUCGGUAAUCGUUGCGAAAUAUUCACUGAUCACCAAAGUCUGAAGUACAUCUUCACCCAACCGGAUUUGAAUCUCAGGCAGAGACGUUGGGUUGAAUUGAUCACAGACUUCGAUUUAGGAAUAACCUACACCCCAGGGAAAGCCAACGUCAUGGCUGAUGCGCUAAGUCGUAAAUCUUAUUGUAACAACCUGAUGUUACAACAAAGUCAACCGCUUCUCCAUGAGGAAUUUCGGAAGCUUAACCUUCACAUUGUACCUCAAGGUUUUCUUUCCACCUUGGUAGCAAAACCUACUCUUACGGAUCAAAUCAUCGCUGCCCAAAAGCGAGAUAAGGGAAUAUCUAAAAUCAAAGAGAACAUUGCUAGCAGAGGUGCUAGUUGUUUCUCCACAAAUGAUCAUGGUGUUGUGUACUUUGAGAACCGUCUAGUGGUUCCCAAGAACCAGCAUCUACGGCAGUUGAUCCUUAAGGAGGCUCAUGAAUCUCCUCUCACCAUUCAUCCCGGUAGCACUAAAAUGUAUCAGGACCUACGCCAGAGGUUCUGGUGGACUAGGAUGAAGAGAGAAAUUGCUCAGUAUAUUGCUAAUUGCGACGUCUGUCGUCGUGUAAAAGCAGAGCAUCAACGGCCUGCUGGCACCCUUCAACCCUUAGCUAUUCCUGAAUGGAAAUGGGAUAAAAUUGGUAUGGAUUUCAUUACCGGUUUUCCCAGGACCAAGAGAGGGAAUAAUGCUAUUUUCGUCGCGGUCGAUCGUCUUUCCAAAGUAGCCCAUUUCUUAGCUGUUCGUGAGAGUAUAACCGCUAGUCAGCUGGCAGAUUUGUACAUCUCCCGAAUAGUGUCUCUCCAUGGUGUUCCUUUGGAAAUUAACUCGGAUUGAGGAAGUCUUUUCACCUCUCGAUUUUGGGAAAGCUUCCAAAAUGCUAUGGGAACCCGUCUCUUCUUUAGCACCGCUUUCCACCCUCAGUCGAGUGGUCAAGUGGAACGCGUCAACCAAAUUCUAGAAGACAUGCUUCGAGCCUCUGUUAUCUCUUUCGGAAUGGACUGGGAGAAGUGCCUUCCAUUUGCCGAAUUCGCCUACAACAACAGCUAUCAAUCUAGCUUGGGUAAAGCCCCUUUUGAAGUUCUCUAUGGACGACGAUGUCGAACACCCCUUAACUGGUCAGAGACCGGGGAAAGACAAUUCUUUGGCCCGGAUAUGAUUCAGGAAGCAGAAGAACAAGUUCGUAUCGUUCGUGAAAAGUUGAAAACAGCCCAAUCUCGUCAAAAGAGUCAAUAUGACCGAAAACAUAGGGCUAUGACUUUCGAGGUUGACGAGAAGGCUUAUCUUCGGGUCACCCCUCUGAAGGGAACCCAUCGUUUCGGUAUCAAAGGCAAAUUGGCUCCUCGUUAUAUUGGACCUUUUCGCAUUCUUGCCAAACGAGGAGAAGUUGCCUACCAGUUGGAACUACCUCCGCACCUCUCCAGAGUUCACGAUGUCUUCCACGUUUCUCAACUCAGGCGUUGCUUCUCAGAUCCUAUCCGUGAAGUGGACCACGAAACGCUUGAUCUCCAAGAUGAUCUUACAUAUCGAGAGUACCCCCUUCGCAUCCUCGAUCAAGCUGAACGUACCACGCGACGUCAUAAUAUCAAGUUUCUCAAGGUUCAAUGGUCGCACCAUUCUGAGGAUGAAGCAACUUGGGAAAGGGAGGAUCGUCUUCGACUCGAGUAUCCCGCCUUCUUCCCGGAGGAACCCAAAUCUCGGGACGAGAUUCUUUUGAGUGGGGGUGAGUUGUCACACCCUAGCUAGUCAUGCAUUAGAGUGUUGCAUCAUGUUUAUUCAUUCAUCAGAAACUUGAAAUGGGGAUGACAGAACCCCCAGUCCCCUCUGAAACCAACUAGGGUUACUAAAAUAAUUUUUCAAUGAACCUGAAAUGCCCUUCUAAAAUGCCCAUCAUUUUUGUCUUGGUUCAGAACCUCUGCCAAAAAUGGUGCACAUUUUCCUAGGCCAUCCUAGGGUUUUUGAAUUAAAUCAUAAAUAUUUGAAUUUGGGCAUUUAAAAUAAUAUAAAAUAUUUAAAUGCUCAAAUAUCUCCAAACUAAAAUGUUUCAUGUUGGAAAUAAUCCAACUAUGGGCCAGGAAUAGUUUGGUGAUUUUUGAAGUUGCCUAGGUAUUUUAUUAAAUUCAACAAAGUUGCAGAUAUAUAUUAAAUAAAACAGAAACAGAAGAAAAGGGGAAAACUUACCUGGGCUCCUCCACUGUGCGGCCCAGCCAGCUGNNNNNNNNNNCGGGCUCCGAUCAUCGUCGCCGUCGAAUUCGCCGUCUCCAGCGCGUCCCCGAGCCUGCUAACCAUCCCUGCAGCUCCGCGGUGAGCCCCCGGAUCGUUUCCCCCUUCUCCCCUGGUCUCUCCCGACCUCUAGGCCCUAGCCCCACCUUGGCCGAGAGCUCCACGCCGCCGGCGAUGUCGCCGUCGUGGCCACGGUCACCGUAGCACCCAACCGAGCACACUAUCGCGCUCUACACCUCACUAGGAUCACGCAGCACACACUAGCGCCUCCCCAAACCCUCUGCAACAUCGAUCCCGACCGCACCCGAACUCCGGUCGCCGCAGCCGAGCUCGCCGCCGUUAACUCCGGCCACCCGAGCCCAACCACCACCACCAAUAGUCGCGGCUCAACCUCAGCAACACGUAGAUGCCUUCCGCCGUCCAUUUGGUUGCCGGAAUGGCAAAAAGCACUUUCGCCGCUGUCUCGGACCUCGCCGGCGUCAUGUCGCCGGUGGGGUUUGACUUGUCCGACCUGGGGUUUGACCCCCCAGGGUCACUGACGCGUGGGCCCUGUCGGCCAGGUGGUUAGAUUAGCGCUAACUACUGUUAGUCAACCCCCCUGACACUGACAGUGGGCCCCAGCGCCACUAAUCCCUAAUUAGGAUUAAUUUAAACCUGUUUAACCCCCCCCCCUGUCACUGACGUGUGGCCCCCACACGUCAGGUUUGACUUCAGCCAGCCGCAGUUGACCACUGACGUCAUGCUGACGUCAUGUUGGCGCAAUAAUUAUAUUUCUGGAUUUAAAUUAAAUCAGGAAAUUCCAGAAUAUUAUUUAAACUUCAAAAAUUCAUAACUUUUAUUCUGUAACUCCAAAUUGGACAAAUUAUAUAUGAAAAAUGAUCAGAAAAAUCCAAUCUAUCCAUCCGUACUAUUUUCAUGCAUGAUCAAACAAGUUAAAUUGAUGUUUUAAGCAGAACAAGGAAAAGCACUUUAAAAGGCCAUGUUUGAGUUUGAAAUUUGAAUCUUUGAUUCAAAUUUGUUCAAACCCUUCUGGUUUUAGUUGCAUUAGCCCAACACACUCAUAUUGCCAUGUUUCAUGCAUGCAUCAUAUUGUUGCACAUUGUUUGGUGAUGCUUGUGUAUCGAUGUCCUUUGCGACAGGUUCUGUCCCCGAGGAAUACCGUGAUUACCCUAACGAAGAACCAUAUCAGUGCAUCGAACCAUCAGGCAAGCAACCAACCAUUUGAUCAUAUCGAUACAAUCCCAUGUUCUCGCUCCUGCUCUCUUUUACUGCAUUAAGACAACGCGAUUCAAACUGCUGUGUGCUACGGUAGUUGAACCCAUUUCCUCUGCAUGACCUGUCAUUGCCACAGUAACUAGAUGAAACCCACUAGCAUGUGUAGGAGUUGAUUGAGCCCUAUGUAUGUGUUGUUCCUACCUUCCUAUGCCUACUAUGCUUAGAGUCGUGUCAGGUCUGGUUCAUCUGGGUGAUGGGCUGGAGUGAAAUGUUAUGUCGGUAAUGAGAGUGGUGUGGUGAACACGAUUUGGUAAAGGUAUCGAUGAGAGGCCAUGUAGGAGUACAUGGUGGGUUGUUUCAUUGAAGCCGACCUUAAGCACUGAGAUCUGUAUGUGUGAUUUAAGAUACAGCUACUACCAUGCAUUGGGCCCUGAAAUAUGACCCCGCUCGACUUCUUAUUCACCCUAGCUCUCUGUCCAGGAGUUGCAAGUAGUUUCUGGUGUUUGUAGCCUACUGGAGGCCGUGGACAGCGCUGACCGUAGGGGUGGGCUGUGAUGCGGUAGGUACGUGGCACGGUGUACCGAAUACCCGUUAGGUAUCUCGGGAACCCUGUUCACAUCAUUCGGGGCCGUAUGGGAAACCUCGGCCGGACUCCCUGCGGAUGGAACCUGAAUAGGCGAUAAACCUGGACUAGAGGCUUAAGUGUUUAGGUAGGUCGUGGUCUACACCCAUGUCGGCUUUCGCUUGAAGUCUGCCGAGCACAUGUCGUGUGCAGACGCUAAGUGGUGGAAACAUGUAUGAAGAAGUACACCCCUGCAGGGUUAACAUGAUCUAUUCGAAUAGCCGCGUCCGCGGUAAAGGACUACUUGGUUGCCUAUACAGUUCAUAGACAAGUAAAUGGAAACUACUAAAAGCCUCAAGAUAAGUGUGAGUGCCGAGGAUGGCUCUUCCGUAGGAAGACGGAGGUGGAUCCUCGGUAGUGUAUUGAAGUGGUGAGUAGUGGACUCGUGUGCGCAAAACAUUUCAAGUUGGAGUAUCGUAGGAUAGCCUAGCCAAGAGUCAAAGCUGGCUUGCUGCAAUAACUCCACCAACCCUUCUUGAUACUAUGCAUGUAUGUAGGAUCUGAUGUAAGUCUUGCUGAGUACCUUUGUACUCAUGUUGCUAUAAUCUACAUUUUUACAGAAGACGCUGCAACCCCUUCUGAUUGGUUCUAUGUAGACGUUGACAUCAACGAGUAGGCUAAAGACCCAGGUGGUGACCCUGAGCUUGUGAUGGACCACGUAGUAUAGCUAGGCUUUCCAAGCCUCUUUUAUUUUACUAGUUGUCUGUACCCAGACAAUGUACUUCCGCUGCUGGCUUGUAUGACUGUAUGACUUGUAUGUUGGGUCGUGAGACCCGUACCUUUGUGAAUGUUAUGUAUGGCUCCCUGAGCCUUAAAUAAAGUACUUGUGUCAUAGAGUCAUGUUGUGAUGCUUCGUUGUAUUUGCACAUAUCGAGCAUAUUGUGUGUAUGAUUGAAAUGCUUGGUAUGUGUGGGAUCUGACUAUCUAGUUGUUUAUCUUUAGUAGCCUCUCUUACCGGGAAAUGUCUCCUAGUGUUACCGCUGAGCCAUGGUAGCUUGCUACUGCUCUGGAACACUUAGGCGGGCCGGCAUGUGUCCUUCUUCGUUCCUGUGUCUGUCCCUUCGGGGAAAUGUCACGCUUUGAGUACCGGAGUCCUGUUAGCCCGCUACAGCCCGGUUUACCGGAGUCCUGCUAGCCCAGUGCUACAGCCCGGACCCACUUGCUGAUGACCGACACGUUCGAAGCUGGGUCAUGGAUGCCUGUCCCUGUAAGUCUGUGCCACUUUGGGUUUACGACUAGUCAUGUCAGCCCGGGCUCCUUAUCAUAUGGAUGCUAGCGACACUAUCAUAUACGUGAGCCAAAAGGCGCAAACGGUCCCGGGAAAAGGUAAGACGACACCCGUGGGGAUACCGUGCGUGAGGCCGCAAAGUGAUAUGAGGUGUUACCAGCUAGAUCGAUGUGACAUCGAGUCGGGGUCCUGACAAACUUAGUCUUCUGUAGGAGUACUAGCAAGAUUCCAGCAUUGCACUGAACAUCAAGAUGCAUUUUUUAUAAAACACUUGUUGUGAUUGACUCAUGCGGGAGUAAUCCCAUGUGUAAAAACUAAUGAUAUCUCGAGAAAUAGGAGAUAAGGUGAAGAGGAGUGGGGCGUGGUGGUGAUUGGUGGUCGGACUGAGCAGAGGCAUGGGGAUUGACGACGCCGGCAGUGGCCACCAGGCCAGUAUGUUCCAGAGGCUUCCUUUCUUAAUUGCUCAAUGAUGAGGUUGUUGGAGAUAAGGAUGAACUAGGGAAGUCCUUGUCUGCAAAUGUGGAGAGGGGUGCGGGCAUCUUUUAGUUUAAUCUCCAUCCAUUAGAUAUAGAUCGGACGGUCUAUAUUGCAAGAUGGCACACGUACUAUCAUGACGAACUCGGUUUUUUAUAAGAGAAGAAAUAUAAAUAUGGAGAUACAAACGUAUUAUUAAUACUUGUUUCCGUAAAUUAGCAUCUACAUUGUAUUCAAUGCCUCGGCAUGUGUGGCCUUAGAACAAUGACUUCUCGACUGUGUAAAACAAGGGUUUUCCCGUCGCCGAUAAGGAGGGGUGACGGCGGUGCGCUUUUUGGCUUGCUAUAGUCCUAGUAAUCAUACUAGGUGGUCUAAGAACAUAUAGAUUUAUUGUUUUUCACGUCUCGUGUUCACCGUACUGCCACGGCUGUUGAUGAAUAUACGGUAAGUUAUUCAUGGGGAAACCCUUGUUGAGCAUGUUUGCGAGAGAAAGAGAGAUAGUGUGCGUGUGUGAUAUGUCUAGAGACUGAUGCAAAGAUAACAGAUUCUUUGUGUCUAUGUGUGUGGAGGAUAGAGAGGUAUGUACAUGGGGCUUUGUGUUGUGUAACGUGGAGAGACAUAUACAUAAUUAGAGAGUGAGUGUGUGAGAUACACAUGCAGACAUGGGGAGAGAUGAUGAUCCAGAUUAAUGGGUGUUUGUGCGUGUCUGCGUGUGUUUGUGCGCAUGUUUGUGUGUGAGAGGGAGUGUGUGUAUGUGGAGUAGAGAUACCACUAAUGAUGUAAACCUAGUAUAAGGGAAGGGGGAAUGGUGUGACAUGUGUAAUAGCGGGAUAACAUGGGUGCGGGCGGGCUGACACUACAAAAAAAUACACUUCCGUGAUGAUACGUGUUUGUCACAGUAGGUCUCGUUUUUUGUCAUGCUCGUACAUCCUUCACGAUUUUAUGAAAGAAUCAAGAUAGUCAUACCCAUGCCGUCAUAGAAGUGUUCCAUUACAUUACCAAAAUUAUCAUCGCGGAAGUGUCCACUUCCAUGACGAUAAAUCGCGCGUCACACAAGUGCUUUCGUCAAGGGUGGCCGACAUGGGGCAUCCACCGUAACGGAAUGCUGUUAAGCUAUCGGGGCAUCCACUCGGGGGGUGCAACCCAUUCGGCAUCGCACGGCUCAGUGACGUCAAACCACCAUGAUUGCCACCCCUUCAGGGUCUCCACAAAGGAGCCCUCGAGCCACAGGACGUUGGCCAUCUUGCCAACCAUGGCACCGCCGCACUCCGCCUGGCUGCCGCACACCACCUUUGGCUUGACGUUGAAAGUCUUAAGCCAUAGGCCGAAAUGGGGGCGGAUGCGGAGGAACGCCUCGCACACGACGAUGAACGCCGGGAUGUUGAGGACGAAGUUCGGGGCCAUAUUGUGGAAAUCCAGGCCGUAGUAGAACAUGAGCCCCCGGACAAAUGGAUGCAGAGGGAAGCCCAGUCCGCGGAGGAAAUGGGGGAGGAAUACCACCCUCUCAUGGGGCCUAGGAGUGGGAUGAGCUGCCCCUUUUCGGGAAGCCGGUGCGCGAUGUCGCUAGCCAGAUAUCCGGCCUUCCUCAGCUUUUUGAUGUGUCCCUCCAUGACAGAGGAGACCAUCCACUUGCCUCCCGCUCCGGACAUGACUGGAGAAGGUUGAGGUGGUAGUGCGGACUUGGGCGUUGGAGCUCGAGUGAGCAAGAAUGGAUAGGCAAAGGAGGAAGAAGGCGUGGGUGAAAAGGUGGAUCCUUAUCCCCUUAUAUGGGUGGACGCAACUACAUGUCCCCACCAGCCUGGUAAAACUCGCUUAUCUCCAAGCGCCGUAAUCAAAGGGGCGGUUGGGUUACCCACGCCCAUAUUGAUGAGAAUCCCGGAAUAAGGGGGCACGAUCUCUGCUUUGACAAGACGUGCCAAGGAAGCCGCCUCGCAUGACGCGCUGAGGUGGGAUAAUUAAAUGACUCGGACAAAGGCUUGGCCGUGGUAUGUCGCACCACGGAAUACGUCAGCAGAUUAGAUUUAUGUAAAUAUUAUUCUCUCUAUGGCAAUAUGUGGAAAACUUAUCUUGCAGAACCGGACACUAUCUUUGUGCUUAAAAUUUUCUAUGAAGUACUUGGAGGAGGAACCCGCCUUGCAAUGCCAAAGACAAUUUGUGCGCCGGACUCAUCGUCAUUGAAUCCUGGUUCAGGGGCUACUGAGGGAGUCCUGGAUUAGGGGGUGUUCGGAUAGUCGAACUAUACCUUAAACCGGACUCCUGGACUAUUAAGAUACAAGAUUGAAGAUUCCGUCCCGUGUCCGGAAGGGACAUUCCUUGGGGUGGAAGGCAAGCUUGGCGAUACGGAUGUUCAGAUCUCCUCCCAUUGUAACCGACUCUAUGUAACCCUAACCCUCUCCGGUGUCUAUAUAAACCGGAGGGUUUUAAUCCGUAGGACAACAUACACAUCAACAAUCAUACCAUAGGCUAGCUUCUAGGGUUUAGCCUCUCUGAUCUCGUGGUAGAUCUACUCUUGUACUACCCAUAUCAUCAGUAUUAAUCAAGCAGGACGUAGGGUUUUACCUCCACCGAGAGGGCCCGAACCUGGGUAAAACUUCGUGUCCCUUCCCUCCUGUUACCAUCCGGCCUAGACGCACAGUUCGGGACCCCCUACCCGAGAUCCGCCGGUUUUGACACCGACAGGGGGGUUUAAAUAAAGAUGACCCUUGGGCUCCGGAAACCCAAGGCAAAAAGAAGCUAGGUGGCAAAUGGUAAAACCAAGGUUGGGCAUUGUUGGAGGAGUUUUAUUCAAGGCGAACUAUCAAGAGGUUCCCAUUAUCAUCCAACCGCGUAAGGAAUGCAAAAUCCGGGAACAUAACACCGAUAUGAUGGAAACUAGGACGGCAAGAGUGGAACAAAACACUAGGCCAAAGGCAGAGCCUUCCACCCUUUAGCAAGUAUAUAGUGGCAUUAAGAUAACAAGAUAAUAUAGUGAUAUCCCAACAACAAACAAUGUUCCAACAAGGAACGAUCUUCAAUCUUCACCUGCAACUAGCAACGCUAUAAGAGGGGCUGAGCAAAGCGGUAACAUAGCCAAUCAACAGUUUGAUAGGACAUGGUGGGUUAGAGGGUUGACAUGGCAAUUUGGGAGGCAUGAUAAGCAAGUGGUAGGCAUCGUAGCACAGGCAUAGCAAAAGAGCGAGCAACUAGCAAGCAAAGGUAGAAGUGAUUUCGAGGGUAUGAUCAUCUUGCCUGCAAAGUUGUCAGAGUUGACUUGGUCCUCGUAAGCAAACUCAACAGGCUCCUCGUUAGCAAACUCGUCUCCCAACUCUACCCAAACAAGACAAACAAGCAAAAGGAACACAAUCAACCACGUGCAAUGCUCGAAUAACAUGAUGCAAACAUGGUAUGCUAUGUGGGAUGCGGUAUGUGAUGCAUAUGCAAGAUUUGACAAGGAAUUAUUGAACCUGGCCUCAACAUGGAAAUCCAAGAGUUCCACUGGAAAGUUGAGGUGAUUUCGGUUGAAAUCGAUAUAAAGAUCACCGGAAUCGGAUGCACGGUUUGGAAAUGGCAAGCAAAACAAAUAUGGCACCGGUCUUCGAUAAUCAGCAAGUAACCAUCUAAAUGCAUCAAGAUAAAUAUGCUACAGCACUCAAACAUGACAACAAAAUACAUGGCAGGGAUCCACUCAUGAUGCUUGACAAAAGAUGAACACUGAGCUAAGGCUAAUUCAUCCAUUAACAGGUUCAAACAAGCAUGGCAAAAAUGCAAACGAUAAUAGGUUUCAGACUUAAUGAAAUUAACACAAGUCCGGAAUUUAACAUCAGGUAGCACACUUUGGAGCAUGAAAACUAUAUGCUACAGGAACUUAACAUGGCAAAGCAAGGCAUGGCAUGAAUCUACUCAAAGCACUUUACAAAAUGUCAGCGCCCCGGCCGCACCCAGCGUCACCAACGGGCCAAGUCCACGCGGCAGCAGCUUGCGUGGCGCCGCUGCUGCCCAACCAGCACCACGGGAUCGCAGGCCCAACACCCGCGUCACUGGGCCAGAAUGGACUAAGUGAAGCCCAGGCGAGGCGGCCACUACUUAAGGCGAGACCACCGACUAGCUCGGCAUCCAGUGGAUCAAGGCAACAACGACGGCGGCUACCCUAGUUCCAUUCCCCUCUCUGUAAUUGCAAUUUCCCUAUAAUCGAGAUACUGGACUCGAAUUCAUGAGUGAGAUCAAGCUAGUUCGAAGAAUCCCUACUCUGUACCUUACAUCUAGUAUCAGAGACCAAUCCCACCCCCUUCCACCGACCACUCUGGCCAAGAUCAUCGAGACGCGGCGACUACGCCAAGCACGAUCAUAGCUCGUCGCCAUGGAUCCAACCGUUGAAGCUUUCCUCGAACGCCUCGACAAUACUCUCAAGGCCCAGAACAAGGCCAUCG
This 57148-nucleotide long non-coding RNA is filed under the name Triticum aestivum (bread wheat). RNAcentral's name for it is "long non-coding RNA (TAES_LNC014663)". The record is from RNAcentral. Lineage: Eukaryota; Viridiplantae; Streptophyta; Magnoliopsida; Poales; Poaceae.